CCGUACAAAGUGUUGACCUUCUUUAAACUUAAUGUCAAAAACCCCAAUGAUGUCCUUCGAAUCCAUUUUGAUCCCUAAUUAUGAAUUUAAAAGCUCAAAUAAUAGUAAAUAAUUGAAUAGAUCCAAAUAAUACUUUACAGGAUGGAUUAUUGUUAAGACUAGAAAUUUCUUUUUUUCUGUCAUGUCAAGGUCAAGAUGAUACAAUGAAUAGAUUUUCCGGCAUCAAAACAACCUUUUCCGCUAGAUUCUUGAGUUAGAAUGAACUUUAUACCUUGGCUGACUGCAUGUGUGAACUUCUUGCUGUUCAAAUGCCCCAGGACAGACAAUAUGAAGAUUAUGCAGUUAGGAGUUCAGAUAAAUGGUACAAAUUCCUUAUGAAACAACAAAAUUAAUCAAUUUUACUAUUAUCCCCUAAAAACCAAGUUCACUUAUAUGAAUAAAUUAUACAAUAGGCAGAGAGCCGAACCAGGGUGCAUUCUAACCAAAGCAAAGCUGCAGCACCUGGCUCUACAACUGAAUAUCCAGUCAUCAAUGUUAAUAGAGGGUCAUUCCACAAUAAUUAAUAUAUUAUUACAAAAAACACUCAAUACAGAAACACAAAAAUCAAACCCUCUAAGCCUUCUAAGAUAGAAUACAGUCUAGAUGGGUCUUACCAACCAUGAGAGAGAGAGAGAGAGAGAGAGAGAGAGUAGUAGAGAAGAGCGACGUCUCGUCGUCUCUAUCGAGAACGAAGUAUCGACCACGAAGAGACGACACGUCGGUCGUGGUGGUGUACUAGUUCGUUCCGUNNNNNNNNNNNNNNNNNNNNNNNNNNNNNNNNNNNNNNNNNNNNNNNNNNNNNNNNNNNNNNNNNNNNNNNNNNNNNNNNNNNNNNNNNNNNNNNNNNNNNNNNNNNNNNNNNNNNNNNNNNNNNNNNNNNNNNNNNNNNNNNNNNNNNNNNNNNNNNNNNNNNNNNNNNNNNNNNNNNNGUAGGUAGGUAGGUAGGUAGGUAGGUACGGUAGGUAGGGUAGGGUAGGGUAGGGUAGGGAGGGUAGGGAGGGAGGAGGAGGAGGAGAGAGAGAGAGAGAGGAGAGAGAGAGAGAGAGAGGAACUCACUGCAACUGAGGGUUUGACACUUGGCCAGCCAUGUAUCCAAUGCUUCCUGAGAAAAUAUCAAGAAUGAUGAUGUUGGUUGUUUCAGUGAAAAGCAAAGUGAAUAACACUGAUAAAGACAAACAAAACCAGGAAAACAGUAGCAUUCAACCUUGAGGUACACCACCCACAUACGGCGGAACCGAACUCUGAGGAAACCAAGUUGGAUUCAUGCCGCCAAGAAAGGCAGGGGGCAAUGGUGGAUUGGGCAGUGAUGCUUGCAAGGAGCCCAUGUCUAAGAACUGCAAUGACGAAAUGAAAUUUUAUGAAUUCUUUGUAGCACAAAUCUUAAGCCAAAAUGAAACUUACAUAUUGAUUUGUAACUUGCAUAAACUAAAGAUGUAUGUUAAGGAAAAUGUAGUGCUCAAUAUAAGACAUGGAUGCACAACAUUGAGCUUUUGCUUUCAUAAGAUUCAGCUUGGACUAAACAAUUACAUGAGGGUAAAACUAUAUGGAUACUUCUAAAAAAAAAAGGUUAGCAAUGUGAUAAUCACAAUGAUAAGCAGCCUUUUCAACAUUCUCAACUAGGUUAAUAGCUUGAUACUACAUCUUGGUGUAGAGAGAAUGCCCAGGGCCAGAAACCCUUGAUACUACAUCUUGGCGGUCAGCUUUAAAUAUUAAAUGCAACAAUAUGGAGAACUAAAGUGUUAAUGGAGAUAAGCCCAUUUAUUACUCAGCUAAAAAGAGAUAUAGGAGAUACAGCCACGCAUUGCCAGAGUUCCAUUGAACUAGAACAAGUGAUGAACAUAAAAAGAAGAAUAGCUAUCCAAUCAGAGUUAUUGCUCCCUGCUAGGACAAACAGAGUAACUGAAAUUGUCAACCAGUGCACAAAAACUUGGCUUGGGCUAGGGAUUCAGCCCCUGCCCGAUCCUAGUAUCUCCGGUAAGUCUGAAUGAACUUUGCCCGAGGCAUGCACAAAGCCAAAAAAGCAAACUAAACUAUAAACAGCAUCAAGUCUAAAAAUGGAAUACACACACACAGGCAUGCACACACACACACACACACAUAAGAACUUGGAAAAAAAAUUGAUUUAUAGCCAAAAACAAUUAAGAGAAAUCCAAAAAUAUGAUAAAACAGAAAAAUAGACCAUAUAAUAAGAACAACUUUCAAAUCAUUAUAAAAAACAUCAAAAUUGUAUAUAAUUAUUUGGCAAAGAUUUUAAUUUUAAUUUUUAGUUUUAUAUGCCUGAGUUUGUAUCCAGAACUCGGGCUCAGCAAGGUGCCGAGUUCGAGCGACUCAGCUGAGUCCAAGUCAUCACGGUCGAGUUGAAAGAUGUCAACAGAUACAUAUAUUAUUAUCAUCACCAGCAUCACAUAUAUAUUUAUGUGAGCAUGAAUCUGGAGUUCUGGACAGCAUGCCAAGCACAGAGAUAAACACAUAUUCUCCGCAAUUAUGCAUAUAUAGUUUUCCAUUUUCUAUUGCAUGCAUAUCUAGCUUUCAAACUACAAUACUGGCUAAUAUUUACUUUCCAUUAUCCUCUGCUUAAAAGAAAGUUCAAUGGUUACCGUAUUGUCAGCUUCUUCUUCAGAAUCAAAGGGAAGGUCAAAGGGGUUUGUAGUUUUCUUGCUUUGUAACUGCAACGGCAUUUGUCCCUGUGAGUGAACAAAUUUUAAGCAUCAGAAGAUUAAAAUAUUUGGAUAAUACAGGUGCCUGCUGUCACUUGUUAUCAAGGAAAAGUAUACCACAGUCCAUUGGUGUCAACAUCAACACCAUCCAGGCUGUCCAUUGGUGAAAAGGAUGGAUGGUGAUGCAAAGUGUGGGAGCCAUAAGACAGGACAUGAUCCCAAUACUGCACCCACUCUCUCCUCACCACCCUCCGUCACUUCAUCACAGAGUCCUGGCCAAGGCCACAACGGACUAUUGUUUUCCUUCCAUAGUCUACUUGACAAUGCUAUAUUUCACGCCUCUUACUAAGGGAUUGUAUACUAUGAUACCAUUUAUCCUUAGUACAAGUAGGUCACAACUAACCUUAGCCAUUAGAUGUCCGAUUGGAUUGCUUGGGGUGUAUCACGAAGUUCACGAAAUUUUUUGUGGGGCUUUGAGAUUAAUCACAAGUACAGUUACAACCAUCUGAUUUGAAAUUUGAUGGACAAAAAUAAUUGUGACCUCCUUGUACUAAAAGUAAAUGGUCUCUUUAUAUACUUUUCCUACUAUUAAAUAGAUCCACCCUGCUACCAAAGAACAACAUUUUUGACACUACAACUGACCAUCAUAGCCAUUGCUGAUGGAAGGAAUCCAGAUCCAUUGGCAGCACCAUUAUAUGGUACACCUGGUUCAGGGAUUCUGCUAUUGAUGGAGGGUUGUAGGGUAACAACUUUACUAAUGUCCUGUCACGAGAUAAAAGGAUGAGGCUCCAAAAAUAGUGAGGAUCAAAUUCAAUCAAGUAGUUAAAGAAGAUGAUACCUCAGAUACUCUAGCACUGUCCUGAUGGCCAGGUGUUGGAGUUUUUACCUGAAUUUGAACCUCACUCUUUUGUUGAAUAUUCUCAAACAAAGCUAAAGAAAAGUUAUCUUUCGAAGUAUCAAAAGCACUCCAUGACUGCACAAAAGCAUAUCCAAAAUGUCCACGAAAUCAGAUUGCACACUUCAGAACAAAUAUUAUCUCAGCCCAAGAUUGAAAAGCCAAAAAAAUUUUCAAUCAUGCAGAACAAACUACAUAUGUAUAUGUAUAUAUGAACAUAUAUAUAUGUACAUAUGUACAUACAUAUAAACAGCCUCUUUCUUUCACCCCAACCCUUCAAUAAGUAACAUAGCUAUAAAGUUUGCAAGUGCUUAAUAAACAUUUAACAAUAUUAAUAAACAUCUAGCAAUCUUACUUGAGAGCUUGUUGGAGCACUCGGUACUUGAGCAUUGUAUCCCACACUGGGCCACUGAUCCACCACAGAUGGGAAAGAUCCCUGAGUAGUUGAAUUUUGAACUGAAGGCCGCUGCAGGUUGGCGUUCACAGAUGAAACCACUUCAUGGUCUACUUUAGAGGGUUCCUUCCCAGACAGCAAAACUAACGGAGCAUUUUCUUUUGCAGCGGGUGUUACGAACUGUUGAGGAAAAUCAAAGGUAGCCCAUCCUUCGUUUUCUACAACAGGCACUGAAGGCGGGACAACAGAAAGUGGUAAAAGAUUUGGCUCCACAGGAGCCAUAGAUGUUUGAGGAUGAGAGACAUCAGCAAAUAAAUCUAUAGAUGGAACCUUGGUGUUCAUUGGUGGUUGGACAAAUGUCGCUUUGAAAGGCUCAUGAACAAUGGGAACAUUUGGAGUUGAAGCUUGUGCUCCAAAAGGAGGAGGAGAUUGACCAAUUUGUGGAGGUAGAGCAGACUGUUCUGCAUCUGAACCAAUAUCGAUUAAAUUAGGUGAAUUAACGGUAGUUGCAGAUAAGGAGUUGCUGUCAAAGGAUCCAAAGCUGCCCAAAGAUGUUGUUCUCUGAAGAAAAGAGAAGAGUUACCAAUGAGAGUGUUAAUGUAUCCAACAGGGGAAAAAAAAGUAAAGAAUAUAAUUGGGGCGAUUUGGGCUUGGUCUGAUUGGUUAAGGUAAUGACAACUGCAAGACUUAUUUGCAAGUUCGAAUCCUACUGCUGAACUACCCAACAGCAAAACAUAUUGUUAUGAGGUAAUACAACAACGGUAAAACCUAAUGGACUAUGGAAAAAGUCAUCAACACACGACGAAAUGAUGGAAGGUGAUGAAGAGAGAAUGGGAACCACCAUAACAGGACAUUACCCGAAUAGUGAAUCAAGUCUCAAUCCGUGCAACAUUUUCAUAGUAUGAAAAUGAUCCUAAUGGACUGCCGAUUUCCAUAGUCCAUGGGAUUGAAGCAUACUUCUCCACACAAUUAGGUUUCAAUAAAGCGAGCAUAAGCAAUACUUAUUAUUUUUACGCCACUUUCAUCAAAGACUAUACCUGUGAGUGAGUAGACCUGUCCAUAUUUUGGACAACAUUCUCUGAUGACUUGGUUAUCUUCCUUAUUUGUCCAUCAAUGUCCCUUACAGAGUGAAUAGGAGAGCUGCCAAAUUCACCAACUCUCAUACCAGGGAGCUCAUUGGCAAACCUGUCUUCGUGCCUAGGCCAGUCUCCUUCUGAUCGACCGGGACUGCAAAGGAUGCUAGAAAGUUUCCCUUCAUAACCACCUCUGUCUGAGCCAGGCUUUCUAGUAAGAGAGCCAGAUUGCUUUCCAUAAAGUCGAUCUUCAUAUUGAUAAUCAUAUGGAGGACUUUGAGAAAAGGAAUGAUAAGAACUGGCCCGCCUGGUAUCGUCCUCAUAAUUUUUAUAGCUCUGCAAAGCAUUAAUACUAGCUAUAUCAUGUAAGGACCUUUGCCUUCUUUCCGAAAGAAAACCCAGUAAAAAUCUGGACUGUGAUUUAUAAUGGGCCAAGUGCCCGAUGGUGACAUAGCCCAUUGGAUUGUAUAUGCAGGCCACCACCUUCCAAUGAAAUGAUGGAUGGUAAUGAUGAUAGAGUGGGACCCACCAUAAUGUUCUACACUGUUCUGAUGUGUCUCACUCUGUCCAUCACCAUCCAGCAACUCAAUGGACAGUUAUGACCCCAAUGAACUAUGGUUUCCAAUUUCCGUAUUCCAUGCUUAAAAAAAAAACCCAUUACCUGCACAUCUCUUGGCGGCUUCUCACUUGGCCUCAACCCAGCAUAACGCCUAUCCACAUAGACAUGCUUUAUAAAAUCCCGAAUUUUAUUAACAUUACUGCAGAAACACCAUACUAUAAAGAAAUUAGUACAGUAAUAAAUACUUAGUAUGGUUGGUAUGGUAAUACACCGAACAGACAGGCGAGGUUACCUGCUGUCAGGAACAGUAUUUCGUUGUGGGUCCCAAUCCUUUAGAAAGGUUUCCCUUGAGCGCUGUCAUGGAAGAAACAGUUAAGCAUGCUAAGCAGAAGAAUAAGCACCCACUAUCAGUGGGGGAUAAGAAGGUAUAUAAAAAUGGCUCUGUUUACCUGAUUACCACCUCUCUGAAGAGCUUCAACUUCCUGAGAAGUAAACUUGGACAUGGAGACAGACUUCACACGAUGAGUAAACUCACGACUGUAUGACCAUCAAAGUUGACCCAUUAAAAUCAUAAACUUUGGUAAAAUAUACAAGAGAAGUAAUGUGGAAUAGGAAAUAAUUUGGCAACUUCACAUGAUGAGCAAAUUCACAACUGACUGUCAAAGUUGACCUAUUAAAACCUUAAAAAGUGUGAAACAGAAAAUAAUUUGGCAAUGACCAUCGUCAAAAUGCAAGUUUUAGCAAAGAGCCCACAAACAUAUGAAGGAUGAGUGGUUAUAUUUGAAACUCCACAUGUCGUACCCAAAUCAUGCAAUGAUCGCAAUCAGCAACCGUAAUAUCAGAUUUUCUGAACUUCAAAAAACAAAUAAAUACACAAGCUCACAUAGUUGCUAACGUGCAAAUUGACUCAGUCAUGUUCAAGACUGAGUCCGGGUUUGAGUUCAAUAUUUUUAAACAAUGGCCACAUGCUUCUCAAUUUCAAGUGGGAGCAUGGGUUCAGAUUGUGUCUCCUUACAUCCAGAAACUUGCCAACAACAAAUAAAUUGAAACAUGUUCCCAAGUCCCAAAUACACAUCCAACGAGUCAACAACAUUCAAUAUUAAGAGUGGCGCACCUUCGCCAGGAUGUAAAACUAGGCUAAUGUGCUGUCUACAAGUUUUUUCAUAGUUCUAUCUACUGAAAGUUUCUACUUGCAGUUAAAAUCGCUCAUUUUAUGAAGUUGACAAUGAAUUUCUUUCGUUUCAAAUAGCAAAGAGCAAAGUAUUUAACAUUCUACCCAUAUCUUUGUAUUUAGUUUCAAAAUACCCAUCAAAAGACACAUGAUCGUGAGUUGAAAUAGCUGCAAAUGAGUAAAAUAUUGAAUAAUUCAUCUCUUAUGGCUAGUUAAUUAAAUUUCACAAAUUUGAAAUAAACAUGAUUUUAGUAUAAAUCUAUCUUGUGCUUUCGAGACAGAUUUUGCCAAAUGUUGUCCAUCUCUAAUCAACAAGUGCAAAUACGCUCAAAACUUUUUAAGGAUAGGAUACAAUUUUGAAGAGGUUUCCAAAGCCAAGCUUAGUUGAUUUUAUAACAUUCUACCCACAAGCCCACCUUAGUCUACUCUCUCAUUUUAUCGCCUAUUGGUGCCACACCUAAAUUUUCUCGAUUAUUCAUUUCGAAUUCUAUCCUUGUCUUGCCACUCAUCCAUCUCAACAUCUUCAUCUCUGCUACACUCAUGAUAUGCGUAUAUUGUUUUUUGACCGCUUGACAUUAUGCUCCAUAGAGCAAAGCUGGCUGCAUAGUUGUCCUAUAGAGCUUGCUCUUCAGCAUCAUUGGUAUGCGACGAUCACAUAAAUUCCUGCUGCACAUCUCGACUCUGCCCACCCAACUCAAUUCUAUGCGCGACAUCUUCCUCAAUCUCUCCAUUUUCCUAGGUUAUCGACCCAAGAUAUCGAAAAUAUGCUCUUUUUGGUUUUUCCUAGCCGUCGAUCUUAUUACUUCCUCGCCUAUACUAAUAUUAUUACUAAACUUGCAUUUCAUAUACUCUGUCUUAAUCCGGCGAAUUUUAAAACCUUUAGAUUCUAGAUCAUCCCUCCAAAAUUCUAACUUUCGGGUCUCAUUGAUCAAACCAAACAACAUGCACCAUGGUACCUCAUAUUUUAGGUACCUAAUCAAGUCGUCUAUAACUAAGACAAAGAGGUACAGACUCAAUACUGACUCCUGAUGUAGACCUAUUGUCACUGACAACUCACUUGUCUUUCCACUAGUUGUUCAUACGCUAGUUAGCGCUCCAUCGUACAUAUCUCUCACCAAGUCGAUGUAGUAUCUGAAGACUCAUUUCUUUUCCAACACCCACCAAAUCUCUCACCAAGUCGAUGUAGUAUCUGAAGACUCAUUUCUUUUCCAACACCCACCAAAUCAAAUAUCAAGGUACUUUAUCAUAAGUUUUCUCUAGAUCAGUAAAUACCAUGUGGCGAUCUUUUCCCUUCGCCUAAACUUCUCAAUCAGUUGCCUAAGUAGAAAAAUAGCCUCAGUUGUUAAGCUCCCUGACAAAAAAUCCUAUCGAAUUUCUGAUGCACUUGUUUCAUGCCUUCAUCGUUGCUCAAUCACUCUCUCCCAAAGUUUCAUAGUGUGGCUUAUAAGUUUGAUCCCUCAAUAGUUCACACAAUUCUGUAUGUCAUUUGUUCUUUGUAAAUAGAUACCGCAAUACAACAACAAUUACAUGAGAAUCAUGUUAAUGCAUGUUCACAUUUUUACAAACACAAUAAUAAAAAAGAAGCAGAAAAUAGACAUAGAUCACAAGCAAAACUUGUAAAUGCAAAUAGAUGGUAAAUUGUGCCCUUCAAAUAUGAAGUAUCUUCCAUCCUAGAAACAUACAUUUCCAUAUGGAGUAUUGCAAAGCUUGCCAUUAGUGGGGAUUAUAAAUUUGUGCAUUUUAUUACAAAUUCAUGGCCUCACAAAUAUGAGAUCAGUCAACAUUGUCAAUGUUCAACAAGACCCAGUUUGGGUGUGCAGUUACUCAUAAGUAAGUCUCAUUCCAAAAAUUCUCAGUCUUCAUUCUCACCAAAGGGUAGGGGCCCAAAUCCCUACUGACUAACCCUUUAACUUACCCAAAAAUAAGUCUCAUUCCAAAAUUGACUGAUUCUUUUUUUUUGGAGUGCAUAAAAUUGACUCAUUUAUGAAUAUGAAAAAGCAUUAUUCAGUGAUCUGCAUUCAUGGAAUCUUGUUUCUCUUCCUUGCUUCUUUGAAAAACAUAGAAUUCUCUUUUUUGCCUAUUACAAAAAGGACUGCUUGAACCUUAUGAAUAACCCCUUUCACAGACAUAAUUACAGAAGCAUCCAAGCAGGAAAUUCACCCUACAAUUGUUAGGAACUUCACACAUUCAAGGGGUUUUUCUUCAAUUCAAAUAGCUCUUCACAGUACAUGCAAGCAGCAAGGCUUCGAUAGAGGCCAAGAGCUAACACCAACAAUUGCAAAUUAAAUUGUUGGAUAUUGCUUCAAACGAGUGUUAGCAAACUCGGACUUGCUUGGGAACUAGCCAUAAGCCCCGAGCAAGUCAGCUCGGCAAGCCCCUGUUGGACUCACCAAAUUUUCACUGAGUUGGGUGAGUUGGCCUGAAAAAUUCUCAAAAAAGGAAAACUCAUAAAGAACAAAAAAAAUUAUAAAACGUGUAUACAAUAUGUAAAACAAUAAACAAUCAAUAUCAUUAACUAAUAACUAACUGAAAUUAUCCAAUAAUAUAAUGAAAUCUCAACGAUACUAGAUAAUACUUGAUACUAUAAUUUCAAAUUUUCGAUAGUAAAUCAAAUGAGUCCCAUCAAUUCCAAGUUCCCACUUCAUAUUAAAGAGUGUGACUGUGUAAAAAAAAAAGCAAAAAAGAACGUUAUCAAUGGCUAAAAUAUUAUCUUUGUACACCGCUAAAAUGUCUUUGUGUACAUCAAGGUUUUAAAGCUCCCCUCAGCCAAGGUACUUGGCCUAACUCAGCCUAGUUAUGUACACCACCCAAAUAUGUCAAAAAAAAAAGUAAGAAAUUCGUAAAAAUACUUAAAAAAUAAGAACAAUUAUGAGAGGUGAUAGAAAUCAUUAGAAGACUUAAGAAGAUGAAAAACAAAUCCUUAAAUAUGGACUAUUGAAAAUUUUGACUUAUAACUCAAACAUUUUUGAAAUAUUAUAAAAAAGGAAAAAAAUAUGAAUGUCCCCAAAUUUUUCUAAAAUAGUCAGAAUCGUCUAAAAACAUAUUUCUAAAUCAUAUAUUAGUAUUUUCCACCUUGAUGCCUGACAAGUUCGGCAACCCCACUCACGCCUCACCUGCCUUGCCUUACUUGGCUGAGUCCAAAUGGACUUCUCGGACACAACCGAGUCUACAAACACCGGUAUACAUAAAAAUGAAAAGGAAAUCAAAGCUUACUCAUUUUUUUUAAGAGAAAGCAAAAACAAUACAAUAAUAACUACACUUUUACUAGAAUGAGGUUAACAGCCCCAAAAAAAUCAUUUAUAUGAAUUUAAAUUGAAAACUGAAAGUUACCCAACAUUUCAAAGCCAAUCCUCCAAUCUUUGCACUUGAAGAGAACCAAUGCCUCCAAUCUUUGUCAAAGGGUCCUCAAAUACCCCAAAAUAGAACCCCUAAACCAGAUUAGUUGAUCCAAACUCUUGAAAAUUUGGAGCAAAUUGGUUUUCAAAAUCUCGCAAGUCCGAGAUUUUGUGAGUGGUCUUUUGUAAGAGGUAAGCCAAUGAUUCGAUAAAUAAACCAAAACAGACCAAGGUAACAAAUUUCAACCAAGAACAAUCUAGGGUUGCAAAGCAAUUACAACUUUGCAAGUUUUCAAAAUUUUGCCAAACCCUAGCUCAAAAUUUUCAAUCUCUCGUAUCCAAUAAACUUUAGAUUUUUUUCACGAAUCUGAUCUAGUGAAGUUAGCAUGAAAAAAUGACACCAUACACUAAAUUUGAGCUCAAUUCCAGGAUCAGUGGAAGAAAAAUGAACAAAAAUGAGGUUUAGGUCCCCUCCCCUUUCCCUUUUUAAACUGAAAAACUAUUGAAUUCAACGAGUCCAUACAGACUCCGCAUGUAUGUCAGAAGCUUGGCAAGUCGACAGUACCCCCUCCCCAAGUAGGGCAGUUCUAGGCUCGGCACCAGUUCGUCAAACCCUUGUGGACUCCACAAGUUUUUCAACAGUAAUCAGACGACUGCGUAAUAUUGAAUACAGCUUGAUUUUGGAUAGAUCUGCAAGCUUUAAGAUUUGAAAAUUUGUGGGAGGAAUUUUUUUUUAAUUUUUUAAGAAGAAAGAAAAAAAGGAAAAAAUAUAAUAAAAAAGGAGACAAAAAAGGAAAUAGGAAAAGGAAAAAGUUACACCCUCCACUACUCCCUCUCCCACCUUUAUCACUACUAUCUCCCUCUCUUACCCCAUUCUCCCCCCUCUCUCAGUCUAGCUUCACACCCACCAAUUCCACUGGCAUCCCUCUCUCCAAUUGAUCCUGGCUAACCCUCCCAAUCUCAACCUGACCACCGGCCACUCUCCUUUCAUCAAUCUUCUCUGUGUACCUCAAAACAAUGGCUUCUUCUUCCUCCCCUCCUUUCUCACUGCACCCCUUCUCUACUUCUCUCUCUGAGUCUCUGUUCAUCUCUUCCCACCUAUACUAUGUCUAUCUUUUUUCACAGCCCACAGGCCCCCCCUCUGGAUGAUGGGCAAUCUGCUUGUCACAGCUACUUCCUCUUGCUGCCUUCUCCUCUUUGUUUUCACCCCUUCUUCUUCUUCCCCAACUCUUGGGAAUGCUCUACUCUAAGCACCUGGUUUGUGGACCUUAAUUCCACACCAAAUGGAUUUGUUUCACGGGGAUUUUUUUUUGCCUCUUCCUUUUUUCGUCCCCUUUUCACCUUGGGAUAUUCUCCUUCCCCUUUUAACAUUGGGAUUUUCUGUUGUAAUCUGAGCACCCAACCUGUGGGCUGCCUAAUUACCACCUUUGUGGUUUUGUAUAGUUUUUUUUUACAAAUCAAAAGUUAACCUUCUCAUAAAAAAAAACAUAAACAAAAAAUUAUAGGUGGAAUUUUAUAGGUUCCAUAAUAUGGUCAUAGAGCGGGCGGGAUGCAAGCCCAUCACUAGAAAGGCUUGUUUUGAGUUUUUGACAAACAGCUGCAUAAUGAAUACAUUAAAAUAUAUAAAAAAACUGAAUCUCGCUUUUAAAUUAUAUGUUUCUUUUUGGUUAAGCAUUUCUUAGCUUUAUGUCAAUUAAAAAAAAAAGGAAGAAAAGAGUGAACAACAAUAUAGGAAAUAAAUCAUUAACCCCACUAUUUGCAUAACAAUGAGACACCCAGUCUGGGUUGCGAGAGGUAUUGGGUUGAACCUCUCUUGUACACGAAGACCUACCCAAAAAUCAGGAAAAUUGAACACUGAGAAACAAACAUAUGCAAUGCACAUUAGAUUGGUCAUCUUGUGAGGAAGGUCUUGUUUUUAAAAGAGAGAGAGAGAGUUAACAGAGGCAUAAUAAAUCACACUGUGGCAUUUGGCCAGUUUAUGUGAUGAAGCUCAAGUACAAAGUUUGCCCCUCAAAUUUCUUAUAAUCAGCAAUAUGAUGCAAUACCAAUUCACAUAAAACUAAACAUGGAGGUAAAAUCAAUGUCUACUAUUUCUGAUCCUCGAGUAAGGAAACAAUAUACAAUUCGACAUCAAAAGGCAUUGAUAAUGGAAAAAUGUAAUAAAUUGAGGGAUGAGAAACAUUUACUGUAUUCCGCUGCAAUUCGUACAAACAAAGGUCCAGAAAUUAGUGCAAACGUAUUGAGGACCCUGAACACCACAAAACCAAUAUAUUUUCAGAUGAUCAUAAAUACAUCAUAAUAAAUUAUCUAAAUCAGUUUCUUUAAAUAUGCAUACAAUAGAGCGUAAAUGGAGAAGAUGGGCAAUAUUUCUUGAAACUUUAAAAGUCAGGGGAUGAACAACAGUGCGUAGGGCUCGUCCAGUGGCUUCUGUAUCAAAAUUCAUAAAAAUCAAAGCCGUGGAAGACAGACAAAAAAUAUAUAAAAAAUAGUGAAAAAAAAUACCACAUUUGAGUUCUAAAUCAAUCCAAGUCUCCUGAAAUCAAAAUUCAUCUCAACUUGUACAUAUAAAUAAAAUUUAGCCCAAUCCGAGCUGAAAAGUAACUGAAUCCUAAGAAAUUACCAGACUGUUACAGUUGAUGCAUCUCCUAUUAGGGGGAAGCUUCAUGAGACCUCGUAUAAUCUUCUCGUUCCUCUCAUCCUCCUUCAUUCUACUGCCCAUCUUGCCAAAAUCCUAAUCUAUCUGCAAAACGAUGCUAACAAAUGCAAUGAAACCCUGAAACAAUAUCCAAAAACCCACAGUUACAAAGAAACACACGAUAUUCAAAGAAGAAACCACAUGCAUUACCUCGAAUGGAUAAUGAAAACCCUAAAACGACCAAACUUUGGUGAAAUCCAAGCAAGAAGCAUGGGAAAACCCAUGCAAGAGAAAUGCGAACUCAAACAAUUGCCCAAGGGGUCGAAAUGAACCCUAUAAAUGGCUUCUGAGGUAAAAUCGAAUACGAGGUCCACGACAAAAAGCCUUAAAAAUGAGUGAGAUAACGCUUUACCUUGACCUCUCUUCCUCUGAAACACAGAGCAUAGGGUUUUGGAAACUUAAACUUCUUUUAUUGUGAAGAAAAAAUAUUUCCUCUGCAACCGUAUUUUUGAGAAAAUGCUUUUUUUGAACCACGAGAUUUUAUAGGCUCCCGAAAUAUUAAUAUAUUUGAUUAUUAAAAUAACGAUAUCGGAAUUCUUUCACCCAAAACAUGGGUGGCAAAACAAUUUUGGUAAAACCAUUAUACCAAAUUCUUUUUGGAUUUUAAUAAAAUGGGUGAGGUCUUUAUAAGUUGCGAGCCAAUUAAAGUGCACCUCCAAAUUCUAUCAUAACAUGAAAUUUUGUUGUAAAAAAUUUUUAGAAUUAUUUUAAAAUUUAUUUUUAUAUCUACUUAAAAAAUUUAAAAUUUUGAAAAUGGUUAAAAUCAAGUAGAUCUAAAAUCUUGAAAAUGUAUGGUCUAGAUAAUGUGUUGUAAGAUGCAUUAUUUAUGGGGUUAAAAAACUUUUUGUUUUUCAUAUUCAUAUAUAUUGUUGUCAAGAUGAUCAAUUAGAGGGUUUUUCAACAUUAAAACAACAUUUCUAAUGGAUUUUUUAGGUGCAACUGUGAUUAUACAUUUUAAGGUAGCAACCUUAUAUAAACUUUUCCCUUGAUAAAAACAAAAAGUUUAUAUAUGGUUGCAUUCUUAAAAUGUAGAAAUACAGAUGCACCUCCAAAAUUCAUCGGAGAAUAUUGUUUUGAUAUUGAAAAAACCUCUAGUUGAUCAUCUCGAUAUAGAGAUAUAUGAAUAUGACAAAAUAUAUCUUGAGUCUCGAAAAUAGUGCAUCUUAUAACACAUUAUAUAGACCGUCUAUUUUCAAGAUUUUCAUAUGUUUGUAGAUCUACUUUAUUUUAACUAUUUUUGGAGUUUAUAAUUUUAUAAUUAGAUAUGAAAAAUAGAUUUUUAGAUAAUCCAAAUAAUUUAUUAUACAUAAAUUAUAUCCUAUGAUAAAAUUGGAGGUGCACCUUAUUUGAAUUAUUUAAGGUUGCAACCUUGUAGAAAUCACGCCCUUAAUAAAAUAAUUAGGAUAAAUUUAUCAAAUUACUUAUAAGAUAUGAACAAUUUUACAAUUUGUGUAUAUUUUAGUUAAUUUAAAAUAUCCAUAAAACCAUGCAUGAUCUUGCGUUGGAAUAGGUGCAAAUGAUCAAAAUAUUAAUGGAUGUGGUUUGCAGAAGGUUGCGGGUUGCAAACGUAAACAAUCAAAGUAAGGUACCCUACCAAAUUCUAUUAUAAGACGUAAUUUUGGCGUUAAAUUUUUUUAAGAUGGCUUGAUAAUCUAUUUUUAUCUCUAAUUAAAAAAAAAAAAAGACUUUCUAAAUGAUUUGAAGCUACUAAAUCUAGAAAUACAUAAAAAUCUUGAAAAUAUGUUCUAGAUGAUGCGUUGUUAUAUCUCAAUGUCGAGAUGAUCAAUUAGAAGAUUUUCCAACUCCAUAACAGCCUUAACAAUGGAAUUUUCAGUUGCACCUUAAUUCUACAAUUUAAAGAUGCAAACUUAUAUAAACUUUUUCCAAUAUUAGAUAUUUCAUCAUCUAAGAUUUUUUUGGUAAAUUUUUCAUAAAUAAAUUAGUGGAUAAACUAAAAUAUUGGUAAAAUCCUUUGUAUUUGUAGGGAUAAGUAGGAAGGCUUAUGAAAUGGAAAUGUCUUAGUGCAUUUUUGUCGAAUCUCGAAGCUCAUUUUGAGGUCACUUAAUGAGCUAUUUAAAAGUUAAUCAGAAGAAUGACUUAGUAUUUAAAAUUAGAUUAAAAGUAUGAUUUUGUUAAAAUGCCCAUUAGAGGUAGACAUGUGCAAUUAUUCCAACUCAUACCGUUUUGAUAUUAAAUCGAAACAUGGAUCUUUUGAUAUUAAAACGAAACAUGGAUCUUUUGAUAUAAAAUCGAAACAUGGACAUAGAAAUCUCCAUGAUGGCGCUAAAAUCAAAUUCACUAUAAUAUAAAAUUAAAAUAAUUGUACAGAUCUUGUAGAUCCAUGAACACUUAUUUUUAGCGUGCAAUAGACGGUCUAGAUAAUAGGUUACAAUGUAGACUAUUUUAGGGCUUAUGUUACAAUCCACACUAAUUUAGGGCUUGAAAUCCUAUUUUGUUUUCACAAGCAUAAUAGUUGAAGGCCUAUCAAUUUCAAGGUUUUCCAAAUGCAAUAACUAUAAUUUUUGGUGAAUUUUAAGAUGAGGAUUUACUUAGAACUACAGCCCUAUCAAAACAAUUUCAUAUGUUAAAUAGUUGAUACCAAAGUUUGAUGUGAUUAAUUUCCUCAAUAAUUGAUUAAUGCGUUCAAAUCAAACUUCACUCAAGUACUUCCUUUAAAAUAUUCAAAGCGGUUUGGAACCAUCUAGACACAGAUAGUACCAAGUGGGCUCAUUGAUUUUUCAAUCGCAAUUUCCAAGUUUGGUCCUGGAAUAAGUUGUGUGGUAUCUUAAUUGGUCAAAUCACUUAGCUAAAUAAUUUUAAAUAAAUAAAUGAUCAAAAUAUCCUAAAUACUCAUAAAACUUGUAGGGGUAUUUUGAUUGUUUAUUUUAUUGAAUUAAUUUUUAAUGUCAUCAUACAUGAUAGAUAGAAGUAUUGGGAUGCAAAAAUUAAGCUUAAUCUAACAUAUAUAAAAUAUUUUUUAAAAAAGAAAAGAAAACAUAACAUGUGUUAUAAAACAUGGGGGACUUGAGUGCAAAAUUUAAAAUACAGAUUACUAUUUUAAAAUUUUGGUAAUAAAAUAGGAUUUUAUUUGAAGCUUCAUUAGAAAAUAAAUAUAAAAAAAAACUUUAAUGUCUCUAAAAGAUAUUAUUAUAGAAUUGAACAUAUGGUAUUUCCUUUUGACUAUCAGAUUUAAGUGUUUGAAAACUAUAAAUUCAAACAUUAUUUGUAAAUAACUGGUGAUUCAAAAGUGGAUCCUAAUAUUUCACAAGAAAACAAUCUCACCAAAUAGAUGUUAUGUUUGAGAGAGCAAGUGUAUGAUUAUUUAUUUCAUUUGUAUCAUUUAUUUAUUUAUUUAUUUUUCUACAUAUUAACGGUGGGAAUGGAGGGCUAGACCUUAUGUUGAAACAAUAACCACUGAUGCUCCUGUCUCAUUCCCUUUUAUUUUAUUUAUUUAUUUAUUUAUUUGUUUAUUGACAUUAACAACAAACACUCUAACACUUGCAUUCACAUGGUGUUGUAUAGAAUAACUCAACCAAAGGGCCAUCAAUUAUCCAUUCUCAGCAACGUAUGGUGAAACAUGAGUUUUUUUAUUUUGUUUUUAUUUUAUUUUUAUGCUGUGAGGUUUAUACUUUGAGUACAAUCAUUCAGUAAUUAUUAGGUGGUUAAAAAAUAAAAUAAAAUUAAUAAGUAGGUCUUCUGGCUAUGAGAGUAAACUUAUAUUUUACUCAUGCGAGAUAAUAAUAUACGUGCUCUCCAUAAAUUGAGGCGUUUUUACAUUUAGCGCGCAUUUGGCCCGUAGGAAAUCUCUCAAUAGGAGGGAAACUUCUUGGUAGGCCCAUACUCUCUUAUGUUUGAUUCAUGGGAAACAUCAGGUCUGAGAGGGGGCAGGGUUAACGCGUUUCUUGAAAGCUAGGGCUGGCAUUGAGCUAGAGUUGGGCCGGGGCGGACCAAACAAACCAUGAUGCCUAUAGGGCUAGCCCGAGCUUGGCCACCCCUAACCAGGAUGAAUAGGCCCUGGACUAGGUUGGACAGGGGCUAGACGAGUGGUAUUGAGUUUAUGGCGUUUAUGCACCAUAAUUAUAGAGGAAUAGGAAAUAGUUGCUUCAAGUAGUCAGGAGGGUCUCUAAGCUUGUCAGUAGAGUAGGGUAUUCAAGGUUAAGUGAUUGUUUGUGUUUCACGAGUGCAGAUCGGUCUAUUUUUUGAAGUAGAAAUUAUUUCCCUAUUUUUCCUCUUUGUUAGUGUUUUUGGAAUAUACUAUUUGUAUGAAUGAAACUCAGUGUUACUAUUAAAAAAAAGGAAAUAUUUAUAUACUUCUCUCACUAAAUAGAAUAUAUGUAUGUCCCCUUCAACUAACCAUUCAAUUAAAAUCAAGUGAGCCACUUAACAUUUGAUCUAAAUCCAAUGUCUCAGAGUUUUUUAUGUUUAGUUUAUUUUUCUAUAUGUUGUAUAGAUAUGAAGUGGUUAGGAGGGCUUAAGCUUGUCAGUAGAGUAGGGUCUUUGAAGUUUAGUGAUUGUUCGUGUUUCAGAAGUGUAGGUCGGUCUUUCUUUGAAGUAGAGAUUUUUUUUGUAUUUUUCCUCUUUUUUAGUGUUUUUGGAUUGUACUAUUUGUAUGAAUGAAACUUGGUGUUAACAUUAUAAAAAAUACUAUUACAAGAUAUACUAUUUUCAAGAUUGGAGCAUUAUUUUUUUUUAAGCCUAUGUAUUUCAAGGUCGAGAUGAUUGGAUUUGAAGGGUUUUUUAUAUUAAAAAAAAGCUUAUUUUAGUAAAUUUAUGAGGUGCAUCUUAGUUUGAUUUUUUAAGGCCUCAACCUUAUAUAAAUUAAUCUAAAAUGUUUUUGAUAUUUUUCAAGAGAAAUUAUUUGGAUAAAUAAAAUUGAGAAAUGAUCUUAUAAGAUAUUCUCCCAUUCAUGAGUAUAGAACCUUAAAAGAUCACCAUUAAAUUUGAUAUAAAUAAAAGCUAAAUCCCACACCCAUAUAAUAAACUUUUAAAAAAUUCAUGUCAACUUUAGUGGGGAUUAUUUGCGUCCUUUACAUAAAUGGGGUAAGGUCUUAAUGGAUCAUUACUUGGUAAAAAUUGUAGAAAAAAUACUCUCUUUUACCCGUGAGAGUUAAUGCAGAAUAUAAUCCCGCCGGAGCAUGCUACAAGCACUCAUAAAGAAGUGACAAAUGUUCAUCGUCUAAGUGAAGCUAAAAGUUUGUCGUGAGCCUUACUAUAAUCUCGCCUUUUGCUCGAAGAGCCAGAGACCCUCCUCUCUCCAUCUCUCUCUCUUAAAACUCUGAUAACUCUCUCUUUCUCUCUCUUAAAACUCGGAUAAGCCCUGGGCUCAUGGCCUCAUCUCUGAGAACUCAUUCUCUCUGUUUUUGUCAUUCUCUGUCUUUAUCCUCUCAAAAACACCCGGCCUUUAUCUCGUGCAAAGCCCACGGUACCCAUUCACUGGUUCCUUCUCUCUCUACAAUCUUAUUCCGGAGACAUAAUAGGAAGUACCCAUUUGCUUUUUCUUUCUCUACAAUCACUGCCUUCAAUGAAUGUGGGAGAGAUUAUCGUUUUCCGACGCUUGUAGCAUUUUCUUCAUCAGGGGAAGUUACAGAGACUGAGGAGCUUGAAGGGGCUCAGACCCUGGUACCAUUCUCAAUCUUCACUGUGAAACAUAUGCUAUUACUCUCUCUCUCUCUCUCUCUUCUAUAUAUAUAUAUAUAUAUAUCUGAUGCAUCCCUGAAUUACAUCACCAUAUAUAUAUAUAUAUAUUUACUUGAAUGCCCAGUUUAUACUGUUGUGGAGUUUGUUCUCUCUCUCUCUAUCUAUCUUUCUCUUCCCGAGGUUGACCCUGCUGGUUUAUAUAACCCAAAUGUCCCCUUUUAAGCUCUAUGAUCAUUAAUUGAAGGGAAUGAUUUUUGUUGGUGGAAGCUGUAAAAGCUCAAUGAAAUGUCGAAUUUAGCUGUUGCAAUUUUCUGUUUUAUGUCUUAUUCUGUUUUCUCAUGAAUAAGACUUGGAGUUGGGAACGUGGGAGUUCAGUUUUGGGAGAUGGUCGUGAGCAAAAAUGUGAUUUUUUUUUUGAGAAAGUGUUAAAUUUUUAUAAUUGAAUUUAUAAAUUACAGUAAAUUUAAUGAAGGCAUCCCACAAGAUGGGUGCUCAGUGUAUAAGAGAUAACGGGUUGAGAGAAUAAACAAAAGAUGGAAAGCAUACACUAAAAGGGCAACGUUAAGGGGAAGUGAAGAUGGGUGAGACUCUGUGAAAGAGCGGUGAAAGGUGGUGCUGGGAGGAACUUGGAAUCGAGUGAGGGAGGUAAAGCCUGGACAGUCCUGUAGGUGAGCUGAAUGUCCUUGGCAGUAGUAGUCUUUAAAGAAGAGUCUGUCCCUACCUGCGAAGGGUUAGUGAAUCUAGACGAAGAAGGGGAGGAAGAGAGGAAGGGGGAGAAGGAAGGGGGAAGGGGCAGGGUGAAAGGUGGGGCUGAAGGGAAGGCUAGACGAGCUUGAAUGGAGACGAGGGAAAAGGGGGAGAAGGGGUGGUAAAGAAAAGGUUGGGAAAAGCAUAGAAGAAGAGAGUUGAAAAAUGAGGGGAGUGGGGGGAGAGAGAGGCAGGAUGAAAGAUAAGGAUGAGGGGAGCAGAGAAGCAAACUAUAAUGAAAGUGAGAAGGGGAGCAGGGAGAUAGAGGUGGCAGUAAGAGAGGUAUGGAGAUAAUGGAGAGCAUUUUUAGUGGGAGAAAGCGUAAUGAUGCAAGUAAAAAGGGGGAAAAAUAGGGCAAAGGUAAUAAUUUGCUUUCUUCUAUCUAUCCUUUUUUCUUCAUUUUUCUUUUUUUUUUUUUGAGAAGGGGGGGAGAGGGGGAGGAGGGUGUCGAGGGAGACGAAGAAAGGUGAGGGGGGAGAGAAAGAGAAAGGGGUUAGGGGGUGCUAGGGUGCAUCUGAGGUGCAUUAGCUCCUUCCUUGGCCAACCCAUAGUUGUUGAGGCAGGAGCGAAUUCGGGAGUGGGAUCAAUUCGAGGAACGCCGAACCGCCAUAGGGUGGAAGUUCCCGGGGAUUAGGAUUGUCAUCCAUACAUCGAACAAAUUAAGGAGCUAGAUCCUAACAUUCCUAAGCGUGAGAUCCCAUGUCACUGGGAUCGAGCUUUUGACUCGGGGGGGGGGGGUCUAAGCUCCACUAUACAUAAAAGGAGAUCAAUUAAUAGUAUAUGAUAAAAUUAAGAUCACGCCAAUACCUGCUUGAUUCAUUAUCAUAAACCUUUGCUUAUUACCAAUACUAUAGUUAUAGUAUUCCAAUUUACUACAACAAUACAAUUUAACAAUAUCAUACAUUAGCUUACAAUGACAUCAAAAUGUAGUUUUUUUAAUAUCAUAAUCAUAAUAUAACACGAUCUGAUAUGCACCACAAUUUAAAAUAUUAUAAAGAAAUGAAUCGAUAAUAUCAAGGAGAGGAGCAGUAGUUCAAUCAAUUGUAUAGCUCCUCUCCUUGGAGGGUUUCUACAAGCAUGUGGACCGAGAUCCCAUUGUAUAAGGAGCGAGAUCCCUAUUUCUCUAAACCAGCUCCAUCUAAGAUCGCUUAAAGGAAUCGCGGGAUCAAGUUCCUAAGGUGGGACCAUGGCCUUACCCCCAAUGUUCCCGCAACUAUGGACCAACCUAUCUGCUUCAGCAUUGGCUUCUCUUGGGAUGUACUUGAAUUUUAUCUGAGGGAUGAAGCUGCACAAGAAAUCAAUAUGCUAAAAAUUGAGUGAAGACGAUAGGGUGGUUGGUGUCGGUGAGAUGCCCAAGUAAUGGAGUUGCUGGAGUCAAACUCAAUAAUAAGUCCCUUGUAAGUGAGGCCACCUUGCGAUACUCUUUUGAGGCCUUCCAAAAUAGCUAGCGCCUUAGCUGUGGUUGAGUCAGCAAUCCCAAUGUGUUAAGAGAAAGUGAGUAGGAUUCCAUUGGAGCUAGCCAAUGUGCCUCUUAUGCCUGAAGGACCAUGGUUUCCAAGGAAAGACCCAUCCGUGUUUAGCUUGAGGAAGCCCAGCGGGGGGAGGACCACUGGGGUGAGCUUUUGUUGGGAGGGGAUGAGAGGUUCAAGAGUAUUUCCCAAUUAGUACGGUAGUGGGAGAUGGGUAAAGUAGCAAAGAGGGGGAGAAGCUUAGCCCAGAGGGAAAUAAGAGCUGUGAUAGAGUAAAAAAUGGAGCUUGGCUUCUAGAAAUUCCUCUGAAAGUUUUGGAAAUGCUUUCUAACUGAAUACUCCAAAGGAGAGCGACAACUAACAUGUGCCAAAGUUUCCUGGCCUGUUUUGCAAAAGGUGGGGAGAGGAGAGAGGUGAAGAGGUUUUGAAGAGAAGGUGGAGUUACCCAUUGGAGGCCGAAAAGCUUAAGGAGGGAGGACCAUAUGCCGUGAGUAACCUCACAAUGAAUAAAGAGAUGGGUGAUGGUUUCCUCGUCUUGGAGGCAUAAAGAACAACUGUUUGACAAAUGGAUACCUCUACGCUAAAGUUGGUCUGGGGUUAGGGUUUUCCCUUGCAAGAGAACCCCUACAAAGGCUUGGAUUUUGUGAGGCACAUGCAGGGACCGUGACUUGUUGAGUAGAGGUGCUGGUGAUAGAUUAAGAAGAAGAAUGAGUAGAAGGAGGAUACCGAGAAGGUGCCAGAACGGUUGGGGCUCCAAAUAAUAGAAUCUUGCCGAUGGAGAGUACUGAAAAUAGGGACCAACAUCAAAAGGAGGGAGUUCAAGGAGAGGGAUUCUUGGUGAGAGAGAUUUCUUCUAAAAAUGGGAGUCCACUCUAGGUUAGACCCUCUAAACUCAGCAUAGUCGGCGACUACUUAGUACUGGUUUCUAGCAAGGAGAAAUAAGGAGGGGCAAACCUGAUUGAGGGGUUGGUCUCCUAGCCAAGUGUCGAGGCAGAACUUGAUUUUCUGGCCAUUCCCUAGCCUAAAUAUAGUAUUAUAAGGAAGGCUUGUUUACUUGAGGUAAUGCAUUUCCACUUACCUGAGCUUUGGUGGGUUGGGGAUUUCGGCAGCCAACCAUCUUCCUCAAGGCCAUAUUUAGCAAGAAUCACUUAUUUCGAAAGGAGAGGGUGGGGGGGGGGAGUGAAAUUCCACCAGCAUUUACCUAGCAAAGCUAGGUUCAUGAGACGAAGGUUUAAACUAAUGUGGCCAGCGAUGUUCAGUACGAGACCUCACAGAAAUGUAUUGGGCAUCCUUAAUUCGUAUAGAAAAAGAUUUUGUGAAUUUAGAGCUAAAAAAAACAAGGAACUCCAUAUCCAAUGGGUUUGUCCAUCACCAAUUAAAUGACUUCUUCUCGACCUCACUAAAGGUACUCAAGACUCAUUUCGAAACAAAUCCAGAAGUUUCGGAUUUGAUUCCAGUGGAAAGGAGAGGGUAGGAGGAAGCGAAAUUCCACCACCAUUUUCUUAGCAAAGCUAGGUUCAUGAGGCAGAGUUUUUUAAAACCAAGACCUCCGUGAGAUUUGGGGGACAAACCUUGUCCCAAGCGACAAGGUGGAAUUUAUGACUCUCUGUGGUUCCAGACCACAGAAAGUUGCACAUCAUUUUCUGUAGACGAUUAAGGACAGAGAUUGGGAUUUGGAAGAGGGACAUGUAAUAAAUGGGAGUGCUGGCUAGGGUGGAUUUAAUGAGGGUGAUUCUACCCCCAAAGGAAAGGAAGCGUUCCAACGAGCAAAUUUCCAGUUGAAUUUCUUGAUUAAUUUGUCCCAGAGGUGUUUCAUGGGUUUGCCUAUGCCAAGAGGGAGGACAAGAUAGGAAGAUGGGAGCGAUUCAGUGGAGCAUCCUAGAUGUUGAACAAGGGAGUUUAAUUCAUCAUUGUCAACAAGGAUCCCUAACAUUUUUGUUUUGGCCAUAUUAACUUUCAUACGAGUAAGUAUUUUGAAGGUUUUAAGGAAAAGCUAGAGGUUAUCAAGGUGACGAGGGUUGGCUUGACUUAAAAUGACGGUGUCAUCUCUGUAAAGCAGAUGGGAGAGGGUGGGAUCUUCUUGGGACGUCCUGAAUCCUGAAAGCAAAUCUCUAUCGUAAAGUCUAGUGAUAGGUCUGGAGAAAAGUUCUCCAAUGAGGGUGAAAAGGAAGGGCGAGAGGGGGUCUCCCUGCCUUAAACCUCUGACAGAGGAGAAGACACCUACCAUUAAGGAGAAUGGAAAAGGAGGGAUUGGAUACACGUGCCUUUAUCCAGCUCCUCUAUUUAUGACCAAAUGUCAUACAAGAUUGAAUAUGAUCAGAUAUUCCAGUUGACUCGGUCGUAAGCCUUGUCCCAAUCCAAUUUUAUAAUAAGACCUUUCUGACCAGAAGUAGACCUAGAGUGGAUUGCUUCUUGAGCUGUAAGGGCCUCUCAUCUAAGAUCUGCUUAUUGGCGACAGAAGCUGAUGUGUUGGGGGAUUCUACUGAACUAAGCGUAGCUUGGAGCCGAGUGGACAAAACCUUGUCGAGGAUCUUAUAAGAAGAGUUGAGGAGACUGAUGGGUCUGAAAUCUCACUUUGAGAGCUCAUUCUAUUUUAGGGAUUCAGGCCAGGCAGGCACAAUUCAAAGCAGAGUUAAGACGAUCUCUAAGGAAAAACUCUUCAAAGAAGGCCAAGAGAUCCGGAGAUGUGUUCUAGGGUGCACAAAGACAAAUUUACCAUGACUAUCACCUAAGGAUUUGAAGACCUUCUGCGGUCAAAGGUGAAGCGGAACUCCUGAUAAAAUCCAGAAUUUUGGUUUUUUUAUAGCAUUUAAAUGCUCGUCCCAUUGCUUCAGGGAGAGCUUUCCUCGCUGAAAACUAAGAUUAGAAGAUUCGAGCUUGUUAGGGGGCAGGUUUAGGAGGAUAUUAGUUAUUUUCUGUUAUGAAUGGGCCUACAGGGAACUUAAACACUUGUUGGAGCCAAGUCGUUAUCCCCUUAACAUCAUUGUGGUGAGGGAAAAAGGAGCCUAUGAAUGAGUUUCUCAGUGAAGAGAGGCGUUCUUUGAUUUUCCGGAGAGCUGUUCAACCAUACAUGGGGGGCAGAAUUAGCGAGGGAGACUUGGGUAUUAAGAUUCAGAUUAAGGGGAGGGUGGUUAGGGUUCAGGUGGGAGGGAAGCUUUGAGGAGGCUUGGGGCUGGUUAAAAGAUGCUGCCGGGGGGGGAUUGUGGGGGUGGAGGAAGGUGUAUGGGGGGGGUCAGAGGUUGAGGGAUGGUAGAGGGGAGAUUUGUCUAGGGCUGCGAUGAAAUGCUAGUAAAGACUGUAGAGAGGCGGUGGUUGGACUAUGGCUUCCUUGCCUUUGUAAGCUGAUUUAGGUUUCUUCUGGUCUCUCCUUCUUUAUCGCCGAGCUUUACACCGGAUGCUCCAUGCAGCAACAACAUUUUGAGUUAUUCCGAGAAUGAGUUUCUCAGGGAAGAGAGGUGUUGGAUUUCUUAGAGAGUUGCAGGCAAAGCUAGCUCCUGCCUCCCAACACUAGGAAGAUAGAGAACAAAUAGAGAAUAUUGAGAGAAACGGAGAGUAACUACAUAAACUUAAUAAAAAAAAACUUUAUACUGUACUAUCCUUUCUUUAGCAAUACAAAAGUUAAUAUUAUAAAAAAAAAACUACAUAAACUUAAUCAAUGUAUUUUCCACGAAUCAAUAGAAGUAACAAAUCUUGAAACCAAAAAAAUAAGGGGAAAAAUAAAACUUUAUCUAAUGAAAUAUAGAAAUAAAAAACAAAGCCCUACGAAGAUUUAAGUAAAAAGGGGAAAAAACGAAAUGGGGAAAAAAUGGAGUUUCUAGGGUUUCUGAACUCGUAGCUGUGAUCUCUCCUUCUGAUCGGGCUUCUGAUCACUAAGCCUGCAACAGUAAAGGGGCCGUAGCCAUGAGGGGGGAGAAGAGAGACUCUAACGAGGGGUAGUUCUUAGGCGAUUCGUGUCUCAAGGGUGGCCAUGGCCGUUGGUGCUGAUGGUGUUGUCCCUUCUCCUGCAAUUCGCAGUUCGAUAAAAGAAACUAGUGUUUAGAUCUCCUGCUUUGAGCUAUUUGACACGAGAUCUCUGUUACCAAAACAGUUAUUCUUUUUUAAGAUUGGCAAAGUAAUCCAUACGUGCAGAAGAUCUAGAGGUUGACUCUUGCUCGGUCAACAGUCUGGUUUCCUCUAGGAUGUCCAAAUAAUGGAUAACUUGGAGAAGGGAAUUUUUGAUUAGGGUGUAGUUACCAGGGCGAGUCGAGCUCCAGUGUUUCAGUGCAACUUUAAGAAGUUGAAGUUUUGUUUGAAACUUGUACCCUGCCCUCCUUGUGGCAAGUGUGGAAAAAGAGUUCCACCAUACAGGGAUCAACUUCAGGAGGGAGGCCUCUUGCAGCCAUGCCAGUUCGAAUCUGGAUUGUUUCGGGCCUCUAUGCACUACGGCUGUGUCUAUGCACUACGGCUGUGUCUAAGAUAAUAGGGUAGUGGUCAGAGGUGGUUUUGGUUAGGGUGGAAUCAUGAGAUCUAGGAAAAGCUUGCUCCCAAUCGACAGUGAAAAGAAAUUUGUCUAGCUUUGAGCAGAUGGGUUGUUGUGCAUGGUUGAACCAUGUGAAUCUAUUCCCUUGGAUAGGGAUGUCUAUGAGCUCAUUGCGAGAUAUGAAGUCUGAGAAGGCCUGCAUACCUCUUGGAUUGGAAAUGGGAGUGUUUCUUUCUUGAGCCCAACGAAUAAUAUUGAAAUCUCCCCCCCAGGCACCAACAGGGGUGGGGAAGGGAGGCAAUUUGAUCAAGUUCUGAGCAGAAUUGGCCCCUGAGAGCGUCGUUGUUUGGACCGUACACUCCUGUGAAUUUCCAGUUGAAACCGUCUGAGGAUCUAAAGAGGAUGAUGGUAACAGAGAAAUGACCGAGGUGGCUGGAAACAAGGGUGUGGUCGGAGGGGUCCCAGAUGAUCCAUAUGUCCCCUGCUGCACCAACCGUAGGGAUGGAGACCCCUUGGCAGGGUCUACGACCCCAAACCUGCCUGAUUUGCUGGAGGGUAGGAUCCGACAUUUUUGUUUCCGAAAGGGCUAAAAUGGUAGGUAAGGACUUUGCAGUCUAUGACUGCUGAUUUUUUCCGAGGCUGACCCAAGCCUCUAAUGUUCCAAGGCAGGAGCUUCAUGGACAUAGGUUAUGGGGUGGGAACUCUCUUGGAGGAGGUCAAUCUGAGUGACCUUCUCGGGUGCUCAGUGGGACAGGUCCACUGAAGAGAGUGAUUACGGUCUGAAUGAGUGAAGGAAGAAAAAAGGCUAACAAUCUCACUAUGACCAUUAGGUCUCACCUUCAUGCGGCUGUGAGCGUCGGCCUGGAUAAAGCGGUGCGCUGGUCCCUCAGGUCCUUCGUAUUCGAAACCCAUAAUCUUAUAGAUGUUCUUCAUCUUAUUCAGGUCCCUCUUGUUGUCAUCAUCAUUUUGACCGCCUACAGUUGGUCCUUGAGAGGUGGACUUCACUUUGCUCUGAUCAUCGAGUCAACCGUAAGCUCGUCAGGGCUGGAAACUGCUAGAGACGAGUUAGUAGGUUUGACUACAGUGAGGUAGUCGGUGCCAGUAGGGUUUAGAGCAGAGGAGGGUGGAAAAGGGAUGCCUACAGAAACAACCAUGGAAACCACAGGUGAGGAGAAGGACGAGGAGGCGGUAUCCAGGGGGGCAGGGGAGAGACAAGGCUAAGUGUGGCAGGAGGCAGCGCAUGGUUCCUCAGAGAGAAACAGUGGGAGCGGGGGGGGAGGAAAAGAAAGGUAGGGGGGUACAAACAGAAAAAGAGGGGUUGUGCACCAGCGACAAGGAGGGGGAGAGGAGAGAGGAAGAGGCGAGGGGGGAGUUGAGGGUGGAAGAGCACCUCUGGGGGGAAUACAGCGACGUUGCGCAGCAGGAAGGUAAGGCAGAUACUAAUGCAGGAAAACUUUCGAGGGAUCUGUUGUCCAAAAAAGAGCAGGGGAAGGGGGACAGGCGAGAAACAUGUUUGCUUGCUGGACAUUGUUCAAGCGGGGCAGGAAAUGGAGAUAAGGAGAGACAGAGGCGGCGACAUCUUCAGGUGGAGGCAGAGAACGUUUAUUGGAGAGAUUGUGGCCACUCUAAAAGGGUAAAGGGCACUAUUCAUGACAACAUGGGGUAUGGGAAGGGGCGGUAAAGAGGGGGAGAAAGGGGAGGGGUGAAGAAGAUGAAGGAGGAAAAGGCAAGGGAAAAGGGGGUAAGACCAAGAGGGCUGUGGGGGAAAGAGGGGUAGGGGGUGAGAGAACAGAGGAGGGGAGGGGAGUAGAAAGAGUAUCAAAGCAGGAAAGAGAAGAGAGCAGGAAGGAGGGGGGGCAGGGGUGGGGCAAGGUGAGGGCUGGACAGAUGCGAGGUUAACGUCACAGGGAGAAAGGGGAAGAGGGCGGAGGGGUGGGGCAUGGGGAAUGGGGAGGGGAGGGGAGGGGAGGGUAGGGGAGGGGAGGGUAAGGGAUGGGGUGAAACAUCAAUAAGGGGGCAUGUGUCACAGGGAGAGGGGAUAGGGGGGAGGCUCGAGGUCGGCACAAAGCGCGAAGAGCCGUCAAGCGCCGGGGGAGGGGAGGGCUGGAGCCCGUCGAACAAGGUCGGCGGCGGCAGAGGAGGCUGACGCGCCGACAUGCUCAUAGACGCGUGGCAAGUGGGUGGCGGGGAUAGCAAUGAGAGGGAUGGCUCGUUUAAAGCAAUGUGGUCCAAGUGGCCUAUUGAGGGCGACUGGGGCAGAGGAGGAAGAGGAGGUGUCCCAUCAGCUGCCACUUGGUCAGAACUAGGGGGCAAUAGGGGGUAGGUGACCGUUGGACAAGUCAAGGAAGGUCCAGUGGAUGGAGUGGAAAAAAAAAGUUGGACAGGUCGACAAAAAGGAGCAAGCAGGUCAAGGUUCGGAUUAGAGAAGGAGGGGUUUACAGGUAGGGAGGGUGGGCUGUGGGGGGAGUGGAGGAGGGGCUGGGUCGAUCCACUAAACGUGAAGAGAGAGGAGGGGGGGAGGUGUUUACGAAAGCAGCUUUCUCGGGUCGGUGAGUAAAAGAGGGGUUGUGCAUCUAUCAACAAGUCACCGGGAACCUGGCCGUUAGUCUCAGCCCGAGGAAGACCAUUUAGUAGAGAACAUCAGUGUGGUGAGUUGGAGACCUCUGACGACCCGAUUUAGUACGGCUCUGGUUAGGGGGAGGCACCGAGAGUCUGCGUUUGUGGCUCUUUUUCCUGGUUACCACCAACUAGGAGGAAAAGUUUUCCAGCGAUGGAGCGGGAGCUGCGUGACGGAAAUAACAGGCGGAGGGCGGGGAAGCAUGUGACCGUUAGCUUCAAUCCAGAUAGAUUUUGGGAUUUGGGAGGGGUCGAGAACCUCAAAAAGGAGGCGGAUGGAGCCCAACAGAAGGGAUUCCAUGGAAAUCCAGUGGAUAGAGAUGAGGGAUCCGCAAGCAGUCGCGAGAUUGCGGAAGGUAUUAGGGGACCAAAAGUGAAGGGGGAUUCGAGACAGGGUGAGCCAUAUGCGCUGAUUCUUGUAAGCCCCUUCCGUGGGGGACCAUUUCCGGAGGGAACACGAAGCUCCUUUGAAGAAGAGGCCGGACGAGUCAAUGAGGGCACCCUGGGCACUUUCAGAUGAGGGGAAGGAGAACAAAAAUUCCCCUCCUUCCACUGCCAUUUGGCCCAAUCUUCAAUCCCUCACACCUGGGCUAAAAACUACCUAUGAGAGAGGUUGAGAGUCUUGAUUUAAGGGCUGCAGAAUCCACAGGGGCAGCAGUGAUGCAAAAAGGAAGGAUAGGGGAAGAUCCCAAAGGGUUCAAGGGCGAGAGGUCAGACGGGUGAGUGUAGGGCUAGCCCAAAAGAGGAGAGGGGGAAGGGGGGGGCUAUCUUGGCUGGAAAGGAUGAAGCAGUGAUAUUAGCGAAGGAAGGCUUGAGGCCAAGGGGCCGAGGAGUCUUCGAAGAAAGAAGGGAUGGGGGAUAGGAGGAAAGAUUCGCUUGGAGGUGGGUUUUGGGGUAUAGGUUGUAGAUUUCAAGCCAGUUCGAGAGGGGGCCACGGGAGCGAGAGCCUGCGGACGAGAAGUCGCAGGUCUAGCUUUCAUGGCGGAAGACUUGGGGGGAGCGCGGAGCCAGUUCGAGAGGGGGCCAUAGGAGCGAGGAGCCUGUAGACGAGAAGUCGCAGGUCUAGCUUUCAUGGCGGAAGACUUGGGGGAGCGAGGAGCCAAUUCGAGAGGGGGCCACCUUGAACACUGAGUUUUAUAUCGAUUCUUGUAUGUAGGUCCUAUUAUGGAACUUGAACUUUGCACAACGUGACGACACCAAAUGAAACGGAUGCCAAUUUGAUGCGGAAGCUCAUCAAAAUAUGUAUUUAGAGUUGUUUUCUGAGACGCAUCAAUAUUGGUUCAUAUUUUCAGUGAAUAUAGCUGCCAAAUUUUCUUGCCCCACAAUGUGGGCUUUACCAAGGUUCUGCAAGUGUUCCUUAUCUCAUGCCUAAAUAAGAAGUUUACUGUCCAAGGACUAAUAUCUAGUCAGCCAAUGGAUUUUAUUACAUAUUUAGAAUGUAAAUUGGGGGUUUUAAAUGUUACAAACAUUACAUGGUUAUCAAACAAAAACAUUAUCUGCAUGAGAUGUAGCUUUCAUGUUUAUUAGUUCACCAUGAGUUGAGAUUGUUGUGUUCUGAAAUCAGAGGAGUCAUAUUCUAGGAGAACGUGCUCUGCACCUUUUCUGUUGCACCUUUCAAAAUGAUAUCUUUUUUUUAGUGAAAUUGACACCCUUUCAAAAUGAUAUCUUGAGCUAAAUUUGAAGUGGUUUCGAUCCAAUAUAGAAGCAUGUCAUUGAAAUGGAAAUACUUGGCACAUUGCUAUGUGGUUGCUAUUAUGUCAAUUCCGUUAUUCGUAUGUGGUGUGGGUAUAAUUUAAUUAUUCUAUUUGGCUUGUUUAUAUAAAUUUGAUUACUGAUGUAUCUAAGAACCUUACUUCAAGCUCCAUGUGUUUUUCAUUAUCAGAAGCCCCCAAUUGAUUAUGUGUCUUGCUUGAAAUCUCCUCAUAUUGCUGUCAUGUUUAACUAUGUAUCCCAAGAAAUUUAUAGGUGGGGUUUGAAAAUUCAUAAUAAUAUUGAUAUUAUUAGUAGUAUUAUCAUUAUCAUUAUUAUUAUCAGCACCACCACCACCACCACCACCAUCAUCAUCAUCACUUAUCUCCCAACCUCUUAUGUUCGAACCAGUUUGUUCCAACAAUCGAGCAUGCUAUUUGAGUGAUCAUUGAAAAUCUGCAAGCUUGGUAACAAAUAUCGCCAGUGUCAUGAUUCAACUGGGAUUUUUUCGCACUAACAUGUACAGCCAAUAAAAUUGCUGGUACAGUCCCAAUAAUUGUCACAGUAGAAAACCAUGAUAAUUAUAUUGGGAAUGCAAUUUAAGGGAGGAAAAAGUUUAUAUAGAGCUUAGGCUCUAAACAAUCAAAUUUGAGCCUACCUCAAAAAUUUCAGUAGAAGAGGUUGUUUUGAUGCGCAAAUAUCCUCAAAUUGAUCAUCUUGAUAUCAAGAUGCCUAGACAUGAGAAAAAAAUGGAUUUCAAGUUUUGGAAAUAGUGCAUUUUGUAACGCAUUUUUGGACCGUCAAUUUUUAAGGUUUUCAAUUUUUCAUAGAUCUGCUCUAACUACACUAUUUUUGAAGCUUUAAUUUUUAUAAUUAAGAUGAAAAUAUAUUUUAAGGCUAUCACAACGAUUUCCAAUAUUGAAACCACUUUUUCGACGCUAUUUGAAGGUGGGCUUUACUUUGAUUGUUUAGAGCCUUGGCUCUAUACAAACCACACCUUUUAAGGAAUGAUUUUGACUUUUGAAAUCAAAUAAAUUAGCAAUAAUUUUUUUUACAAGUAUAGAUAACUUACAUUACAUGUAUUAGUUGGGAAUUGGGACAAGGUUCGGAUGUUGAUGAUGAUGACGAUAGAUAACUUACAUUAACUGUAAUAUGUCCUUCCAAUUUUGAUAAGUGUUGGUAACUUACUUAAAAUGAUAUACAUAUCAGAAGAAACCUCUCAGACGAGGAAACUAGCCUCUUCUUGUCACUCUCGGUAGUUUUACAUUCGACCUUCAUCUCUUCUGAAGGGAGGGAUUCUAUGAUUUGGAUGCUAACCCCCUCCGGUACAUUCACGGUGGUCUCGUUUUACAAAAGACUCAUCCAACCCCCACUUACCCCCUAAAUCCUACCUCUGUCCUUUCCAAGGUCUGGUCCACAAUUGCCCCCCCCCAAAGUUCAGACUUUCAACUGGAUUGCUUGUUCUCAAUGGGCACUGACAGUGGACCAGCUUCAGAAGAGAGGGAUUCCAAUCCCCAAUAGAUGCGCCAUGUAUUUCAAGGAGGAGGAAUCGAAUUCACACCUCUUCAUCCACUGCGAGGUAGCCCACAACCUUUGGAGUUAACUGUUGCAGCUGUUUUGUCUCCAAUGGGUUACUCCACCGACAGUCAAGGCCCUAAUUACCAUGGAACAGGCGUCACUUUGGCCGAAGGCCAGAAGAACCUUAUGGAAGGCAGCCAUUGCUGCAUCCAUAUGGGUGAUAUGGGUAGAAAGGAAUACCAGAAUAUUUCAAGGACACAAGCUCCAGGUACCGGCCCUACUCCACAAGGUUACUACUCUAGUAACAUUCUGGCCAUCCAACCGCAAUGUGUUCUUAGGCCUUUCAGCGAAUACUUUUCUCAGCCAAUGGGAAAACAUACUCUACCACUCCACGAAAGGUGCAAAGACGAAGCAAUUGGCUGCCACCUCCAGAGGGCACAAUCAAGCUCAACUUCGAUGGCUGUUCCCUGGGGAAUCCCGGCCCCUGCAGGAGCUGGUGGUGUCUUUAGAGACCACCAUCACAACAUCCUCUUUACCUACUUUGAACAUCUAGACCAUAGAUAUUCUUAAUAUGUUGAAGCUAUUAUCCUGCUAAUAUGACUCAAAAGCUUCAAUGAUUCCUGGGGCUCAAACCCGUUAGUGGAAGGAGACGCACAUAACAUUUUAGCCUAGGAACUGGGACGACACCACCCCCAUGGUACCUAGCUUCGAUCUUUGAUGAAAUUGCCUAUAUCUGCAGGGAUACGCACGUCUCAUGGAAGCAUAUAUGGAGGACAUGCAACGAGUUUGCCGAUCUUCUAGCGAAAGACGGGGUUAGGAGCCAAGAAGAAGAUAGCGCAUGGUCCUUCUCCUUUUUUGAUCAGGACCACAUAAGACACACUACGUAGAACAUCUCAUUGUAUUCGAGCAACUUUAUAAUCCCCUUAUUCUUUUUGUGAACUUAUUGUAAAUCCUUUGUAAUUGGGCAGGUUUAUAGGCCCACAUUUUGUAUAGGGUCUACUGACCAUUUUUGUACCGAGAGACUCCUCUAGAGGGCUUUCUCGGACUAUCACAAUCUGUACCCCAACUUCUCUAAUGCAAUUCAAAUGUUAACAUUUCAAAAAAAAAAAAACUGAUAAAUUAAAAUUGAUAUUGAUUUAAAAUAUUAAAAUGCGGUAGAGUUGCUCUGAUUUUUCAAUGUAACCUUUAAAAAGAAGGCUUUCGGAUUCUGUUCUCUCCUCCCCCCUCCCCCCUCCCCCCCCCCUUUUUUUUUCCCUAGAAGGGCUCAUUGUACUCUGAGCUAUCCAAGUGCGGAUAGCCACUCUCCCCCUUUUCUCUCUCUUUUUCGUUAUCAUUGUAUUCUAUACUUGUUUACUCAUAUACAUAACAUUUAACAUUCUCAAAAAAAAAUGCGGUAGAGUUGCCAUAGAAAGAAGCCUUCUGAUAAUGUCGGGAUAAAACUCCCCACCUAUGCAAGUAGUGGUAUUUUUGUAAGCAGUCAGUCAUAUUUGUUGGUUUUUAAAAGUUUUUGUUCACAAAGACUCAGUUCUGAAUGGGGAUACUUUGGAUUUGCAGAAGUAAUUUAGUUAGCAGAUGCAUUAUGACCAAGAUUUUGAAGAGAAGAAACAAUAUUAAUUAUGUGUAGAAAUAAGCAGUAUGGCAGUAGAGAUGUGUGUAUACAUAAAAACUCAUUUAGGGUGGAUUUCUAUGGGAUGGUUGUGAGCAAUCAGUGACAUGCAAGCCUUAGUGUUUGGAAACUUUGCAGUCAAUAGUUUUGAGAAAUGUGGCAUGAGUUGCUUAGUUUUGUAUCAGGGUGUGCAUGCUUCAUUUUAAAAUCUUUAUCAUGUCUAUAGCAUUCCAAUAACUUAUAGAAGUACCUUUACUGUAAUGAAAACUGGUGGUUGAUUGGAUUCCUAAAAAUCCUUUAGGAAGCAACAUUAAUACAUCUAAAUUUCAAGUAGUUACAAUGUGAACCAGGCAUUUGUUGAUCAGCAUGUGAAGAAUACCACCUAUGAUUCUUAUGGGAGUCUGAUUUGACGAGCAUAAUACUUUCACCUUCAUAUAUAAAAUCAAAUGUUAUGGAUGAGUGAGGUUUCAAAGACAAUAGGUCUAUAUUAGGGGCAGCAUAGAGGCUAUACCCUUUUGUCUUAGUUAUGGAUGACAUAAUGACUUAACUAGACACCUACAAGAUGAGGAACCGUGGUGCAUGUUAUUCUUGAAUGACAUAGUUUUGAUCGAUGAAACUCGAAACAACGUCAACACAACGUUAGAACUUUGGAGAGGUGCUCUAGAAUCUAAAGGUUUUAAAAUUAGCCGAACGAAGACAGAGUAUAUGUAAUGCAAGUUUAGUAAUAAUAGGAGUAGAGACGAGGAAGUAUUUAACAUUGACGACCAAGAAAUAUAAAAAAGGAAUGCACUUUCGAUAUAUUGGGUCGAGAGAUUGAGGAAGAUGCCACACAUAGAAUUAGAGUUGGGUACACGAAGUAGAGAUGUGCAACCGACCACAUACCAAUGAAGUUGAAAGGCAAGUACAAUAGAACAACUGUGAGACUACCUUUAUUUUAUGGGGCAGAAUAUUGGGCUGUCAAGAAACAACAUAUCCAUAGAAUCAGUGUAGCUAAGAUGAGGAGGUUGAAAUGGAUGAGUAUAAAGACUAGAAGUGAUAGAAUUCGAAAUGAGUACAUUCGGAAGAAUUUAGAUGUGGCAUCGAUAGGUGAUAAGCUGAGAGAAAAUGGGCUGGCCAUGUGUGGCUUAGACCCAGUACACUUGUGAGAAGGUGCGAGUUAGUUCAAGUGGGGCUCAGAAAGGGCAAAGGUAGGCCCAAAAGGACAUGGUUGAAAGUAAUGAGAAAAGAUGUUGGGACUUAUGGCCUUAGCGAGGGUAUAGCUCUUAAGAGAGCAGGAUGGAGGACCAGGUUUCAUGUAGCCGACCACAAUUAGUUGGGAAAAGGCCUUGAUGAUGAUGAAAUAAAUCAAAGGUUAAUCAUGCUUGAUGCUUCUAAUUAUGUUGAGAAAAGCUGGGCAUGUUAAACCCCAUAUGGAGUGGCACUCUAGGACCAAGUCUUGUUAGGGCUUGUCCUUGACAUGAUGCAUAAUGCUUGUCACUGGACAUGAUUGUCUCAUACUGCUGUUUUAAUGAAUAACGUGGAAUGACAUUUACUAUCAUCCAGGGAAAUUCUUGAAUAUGUCAAUCAAACUGUUCACAUUAUUUUGCAUGAAGAGAAUUAUUGUAUUUCUGCUUCCCAAAUCCCCUCCUUUCUCAAUUAAUAUUUGAUAAUAAUUAGCCAAUAUGCAAAAUUAUUUUUGAUCUUUUACCGUUGUGUUUCAUGGUUUUGUUUUUUUUGUCAGCAAUGUGACUCUGGUUCUUGAAACCUUUGAAUGAUUGCAAGCACUCAGGGUUACAUCUUCUUCGACCAUGCCUGCUACUUCUUUUUUUCUCUCUCUUUAGAUUCAGUUUGUUGUAGUUUCCAAUGUUGUUUUGUUAAUAAUUCUUUUACUUGGCUUUUUUAUUAGCUAGCUAUUCAUUGUAGUUUUUGGCCAAUUAUAAAUAUUGAUCUAUUGCUUCUUUCCCUCUUUCGGUUACUUCAGCUAUGGAUUUAUAUGCUUAUUUUGAUUUCAAUUUCUUAGACAUUUUUUUCUAAUUAUUGAAACUGCAUUUGAUCCAUGUAAUAAUAGGUAAUAACAGUAGUUAAAAAGACGAUGCAUAUUACGAAAAGAGAGAAGGAUCUCAGAAUUAUGGUGGCUUGAAAAUCAAAUACUCAAUUUAGCUAGGGUCCCAUUUAGAUGGACCAUUUAUUAACAAAAUGUCCAAAUUGGUCCCUUUAGGAGCAUAGAAAGAAACAGCUUGGUACACUGCUAUUUACGGGUGUGGGCCCUUUCUAUCCCCCUCUUGUUACGAAAAUACCAUGAAAUGCCCAAUUGUUUUGAUUGGAGUUCUCAGAUCAUCCAAGUGGGGCCUACAGGUUGACUUCCCUUUCAAGAGUUAUAUGAAUAAUAGGGAUUGCUUUAAGGCAUUGAUCACUUCUUAUAGGUUGAUAUGGAAACAUUAUUGGCUUGUUGGUGAACCUAGUGUUUCAUGACAGUACCAAGCAUGUAGAGAUUAACUUAAAUUUAUUCAUUAUUUGGUUGUGCUCAUAGUAUGGUGAUCAACUGAAGAUUUAUUUGUUAGUUGAUGGCUGGACUUGACAUCUUUAUCAAAGAAACUGUCUUCUUUUAUAUAUUUUUUUUUCUUUUGAAAUGUGGUGUCUUCUUAUUAUUUUUACUUGAUAUUUGAUAAAGAAGCAGGAUAUAAACUUCCUGCCUAACUUAACUUCAGGAUAGUAUUUGGGUUGUAUUAUUUUUGUUUAGUCAUCUUCAGUAUGUGUGGUGGUAACUUACAUGCAUGAAAAUUGGGGGUCUCUAUGAAAUUUUCCAAAAUAUUAUGUAGGCGUGUUUUUCUUUCUGUAAGUAACUGUGUGGCGGGCGCUGAGCCACUAAUGAAGAACUCAUCUCAUCAAAUUACCAUUUUUGCCUUUUCUCUCUCUAGCUGUGGAUACUAACCUAGAGAUAUACAGCAGGAAACAACAGAAGAUGAAGCCCCAGUGGAAGCUGAAACUGUUAAACCCGAUUCCAUUGAUGGGGAGGAAUUGCCUGUAUCAGCUGUAAAGGCAUCACUCGAGUCCUAUAGAGAAGCUCUAGCAAAUAAUGAUGAGUCCACAUUGGUGGAGAUAGAAAAAUUUCUUCAAUCCAUUGAAGUUGAGAAGAAUUCUCUCUCAAACAAAGUGGCAGCUUUGUCUGAAGAACUAUCUUCUGAGAGAGACCGGGUUCUUAGGAUCAGUGCAGACUUUGAUAAUUUCAGGAAGCGAACAGAGAGAGAACGUCUCUCUCUAGUUUCCAAUGCCCAAGGGGAAGUGAUAGAGAACCUUUUGCCUAUAUUGGAUAACUUUGAGAGAGCCAAGGCUCAAAUUAAGGUGGAGACGGAGGGAGAAGAGAAGAUAAAUAAUAGCUAUCAAAGCAUAUAUAAACAGUUCGUUGAGAUUAUGGUGUCGUUGGGUGUUGUUGGCGUGGAUACAGUUGGAAAUCCGUUUGACCCAUUGGUAAGUUCUCCUUUCCUAGUCAUUUUAGUGUUUUCUGUCUCUUCUUUUUUUAUAAUCUGUUUCAGGGUAAUACUACCUGAGCGAGUUUAAGCCCGACACUGAUCUGCUCUCUAAGAUGUUUGCUCCAUUUUUUUCGUAAUGGUAUGUUAUUGGGUUUGUUUCACUUGAACACCCCCAAAUUAUUUUUGAAUCGUAGUUGCUUCUCUAAAGUUAGCUCCCCGAAAUGCUAAAGCAUCAAUUUGGGCUUUAGUUGAUGUAUUUUCUUAGUUAAGUUGAAUUUCUGAGUUUUUUACUUUUAUAUAUAUGUAUAUAGAGUAAUGAUCCUAUGAGACCCGCCUACACCCAUAUGUGUAAGACUCCAAUGGAUCACCAUUAAAUUUGGCACAGAUCUCUAUAAAAGUUAUCACAUAAGUGUGAGACAACUUUUUUAGAGAUCUGUACCAAAUUUAAUGGUGAUCCUUUGAAGUCCUAUACACAUGGGUGUAGGAGGGUCUCAUAGGAUCAUUACUCAUGUCUAUAUAUAUAUAUAUAUAUGGAAAAGGCUUUUCAACACCUAUAGGCGAAAAUGAAUAGUGAUUUCGCCUAUCUUCAUUACCGUCCAUAUUUCAUCGCGCGGUCACGAUUGUCCGAUAGUGUUUUAUUUUUCAUUUUUUUUCUACGGAUCGGAAUGACCUGAAAUUUGGAGGGUAUGUAUAUCUUACUGAGGCGCAUCUAAUAAAAUAUAAAAAAAAUUAUCCGCAAAAACUAAAUUGACCAAAUUACCCCCGAAACUUUUCAGGGGUAUUUUGGUCAAUUUAUUUAAUGUAAAAUAUAUUUUUUUUAUAAUUUUCGAAGAUUUCCCUAUUUUUGAUGAACACACUCCAAAUUUCAUGUCAUUCCGAUCAGUAAAAAAAAAAUUGAAAAAUGAAACACUACUAGACAAUCGUGACUGCGCGAUGAAUUUUGGACAGUAAUGGGAGUAGGUGAAAUCACUGUUCAUUUUCGCCUAUAGGUUUUGCAUAGUGUUUUCUUUUAUAUAUAUAUAUAUAUAUAUAUAUAUAUUUAUUAUUAGAAGGGAAUUGGUGUUUGUCAAGUGUUGUGUCAACAUUAUCUUGAAUGGGGACAUUGGUGACAUGAACCACCUAACAAAUAUGAUUUUAUAAAAAGAAAAGUGAACAUUGAAUCCCAUGAUGAUAGACCAUUGCUCAAUAAUCAAGUCCCUUUGUAUAAGUUCCCAUCAGAUCUCUAGCAAUCAGUGUUUCAAAAGUUGUCCGUCCUACUUGGGAUUCAUGUGAGUCGAACCUGAUUGGAGCUUACCUGCAGAAGUCCCCUGGUUUCCUUAGAAUCUGUUUCUUUUUGUUAAAUACAGCCCUGUGACUCAAACUUUCCUAAGUUGGAUCAGAGGAUGGGGAUUUGACCUUGUGAAUUCCAAUUUUUGAAAGAUUGCUAACAAUUGCUCUUGACUGUUAGGAAUUGAAGACCCUAGAUUGGGAACUUUGAGAGAGAGAGAGAGAGAGAGAAACAAGACAAAACCACUUCAUAGGAAUUGCUUCCUCACCCUUUACAUUGAAAAGAAUAAAUAUAUAUGUUACAAAAGAAUAAAUGACUAUGUUACCCUUGGGUGAAUAACCCAGACAAUUAUAGAAAGGACAGGACACUACUAUCUCUUAACGUUGACAUACUCGAGUAUAAAUUUUUGUUAGUGUUGAAAGUUAUUGCUGAUUUUCAGGAUCAGAAGUUUCAGGAUAUUUUCAUCGUUUGUUGGGUGGUUAAUUUUUGGGGAGGCCAAUUUUAUCCGUCUUCAAUUCAAAGUGUUUUGGGUGUUUGCAAGUUAAAUAAUCAUUCUCUCCUCUUUUUCCUUGCUUGUAAAAGCAUUUUCUGGGUAUCCAGUCAUUUCUCAAAAUGGAUUAAUUGUGGGUAUUCUAUGUAAUUUCAUCAGAGGGGUCCGACCCUCCUGCUGCCUCUCUCUCGCUCUCUCUCUCUAAUAGAUACGUGCACACAAACUCAUAGACACACACUCUCUCUCACACGUGCAUGUGCACACACAUACACCCCACCCUCUCUCUCUCACACAGAUCUCUCUCUCUCUGUCUCACACACACGGCUCUCACUCACACACCUCUCUCUCUCCCCGCCCCCUCUUUCUCUCUCACACACAUGUGCGCACACACCCCUCUCACAUGUGCACACAUCUCUCUCACACAGACAUUCUGUCUCUCUCUCUGUCUCACACACACUCAUGCACCCCCUCUUUCUCACAUAUACAGAGACAUAUCUCUUUUUCUCUCACACACACCUAUCUCUCAUGCAUGUGUAUGCACACACCUCUCUCUCUCUCAUGCAUGCGCUGUCUGUGAGAUUACCAUAAUUUCAUUCUGAAAAAAAUUUAAUCUUUUGCUGAUAAAAGCUACAUGAGGCUAUCAUGCGUGAGGACUCAACAGAGUUCGAAGAAAGCAUCAUACUCCAAGAAUUUCGGAAAGGGUUCAAGCUAGGAGACAGGCUUCUGAGGCCAUCCAUGGUCAAGGUAUCAGCAGGCCCAGGCCCUGCAAAACCAACAGACGAGGUGGACUCUUCAGCUUCAAAAGAACCAGCAGAGGAGGUUGACUCUUCUGCUUCAAAAGAAGAGACUGAAGAAGAACCAGCAAGCGAAUAGAGCCAUAGCGAAGAACCUACAUGGAGCUCUUGAUUUCUCUCUCUUCACUCUCAAUUUUGUAAAACCAGUGGGGGCAUGUAAUUCAGGGGAAAUGUUGGUCUAAGUGUGGAGUUGUUAGGGCCUUGUAACUGUGACAAACUGAAUUUACUCCCGCUGUUUUUUUCUCUUUUCUAUUUUAAGGUUUUUCUCUUUCUUAUUGUUGAGGUUUUGUAUGGCUUACUAACUCUUGAUUUUCCUUGUUUCUGCUUAGCCUUGUGUAAUAUUUGUGGGUUGCUUUUGUGGCAUAGAUUCAUACUGUGUAGGCUUUUGAAACCAGGUCUUCUCCCUCAACAUCUCACCAAGAAAAAAAAAAAAGGUAAAAAAAGAAUAGGAAAGGUACAAAGAGAUUGUUUACUUUUAGCAUGAAACGAGUGAUUGUGAGUUUGUAAUUGAUUAGGCUUGAAAGUUUAAAAAAGAUUCCUCGAAUUUCAUAAUACAUCUCGAACUAUGAUUAGACUUAAAAUUAAAAAAAAAAAAUUAAAUUUCGUAAUAUGACAUUUAAUAGUUAGUAAUAGAUGUGAAUGAUCACAUGGUAUAUAAUCUCGAAACCAAAGGGUUUGAAGUUACUUCAAAAGAGCGAGGAUAAUAUUUAGACCGAUGCUAAGCUCGAAUAUGUAGAAAUGCGGGCCUCUUGAUAGAUCUAUUUUUGAGAUGGAUUUUAAGUCUUAAUUUUUAAGAGCAUGUAAUCUCUAACAUGGAGAUCAAGAAUAUGAAUAAAUAAAUAAAAAUUAAAAACAAAAAAUAAUGGUUCUUGUCAUUUGGACCCUUAGUUUUUAUUGUUUUCAGAUGGAAGAUGGUUGCUUUACACUUUUUGGAUUGCAUAUAUAAAAAUGCGGUUUGACCUACAUGAAACAAUUUUACUAAUAUUUAUGGGCAUUUAUUAUUUUUACCUUUUAAAAUAAAUUUUUUCAGUAAUCCAUUUUUAUUAGUGGGGAUGGAAUAAAUAAAAUAUUCUUGAAAGGUUUGGUUUCUAUUGACUUUAAACAAUUAAAGUAAGGUGUGCUUCUAAAUUUUGUGUAAAUAAGUCGGACCUAGAUUGAGUUGGGUUCAAGUCAAUUGGACCCAGAUAGGUCUGGUUGGGUUUCGACAUAAAAAUAAAAAUAAAUUGUAACAUAUAUGUUACAUUUUCAAUAAUAUGUCAUAAUCAUAAUCAUUUGGGUUGUAAAAUAACUAUAUAUUUUAAAACUUAUUAUAUAUUGGGAAAAUUAUAAAAAACUUUCAAGACUACACUUUAGAUGAAAAAUGCCCUUCCUGUACAAAAAUAUCAAUUUGGCCGGAUUUGACGUUGACUUUCGAACCCCAGUUGAUUUUCGAACCCCAGUAGUACAUUGCCAGAGUCCACCAUCACAUUACCGAACCAAAACUGAGUACUACCUGGACAGAAGCUGAGUAUUACCUAGACCGCCCUUUGCAACUGCCAGUUACUCCAAAAGUUCUACUGCCGGAUUGCCUUUGCAAUUGCCGAAGCCCUGUAACUCUAGAACAUUUACUGUCGGACUGCACUUACACAGUUCCAGAGCCCUAUGAUUCCAGAGUGUUCCAUUGCCGGACCACAUUUACACGGGGCCAUGUUACUCCAGAGCAUUCCACUGCUGAACCGCACUUACACAGUGCUAGAGCGCUUGAUCUACUGUCGGACCGCAUUUGCACAGUGCUGGAGCCCUAUUUUGGUGGGAUUGAGGGGAGAGGUUUGCAUAAGGUAAAAGUAAAAGAGGGUAGUUUAGGUAUUUUUUAUUUAUUUAUUGGUUAGAAAGUGUAUUUUGGAGAAAAAAGUAAGAAAAAAAAAUAGGUUGAAAGUAAGUCGUACAGAAAGUAUAGUUUUGAGAUUUUUUUUAUAAUUUUCCGUAAGGACAUUUAUAUGUCCUUUAUAAGCCUCGAGUUACCCAACCUAGGUUGGGUCGAGUUGACAUAGAUCCAACUCAUGGGGUCCAUUGUCCAAGUCAAGACACAAACCCGGUCAGUCAACCCUCCCAUCCCUAUAUUGGCUUAAAAUCUAGUUUCGCCCCUAAUUGUCGUGGAUAAAACAAAUUUAUAAGUAUUUAAAAUUUUUGAAAAUAGAUGGUUUAGAUAAUGUAGUUUAAUAUACACUACUUAUGGGAUCUGAUAGCCUUUUAUUUAUUUUCUUACAUCUUGGAGUCGCGAUAAUCAACUGUAGAGUCUUUUUUAUGCCUAGAAUAAUCUUUAGGUAGAAAUUUUUUAAGGUGUACUUUAAGUAUUGACUGCAUGGUAAGAUUGAUACUUUACAUAAAGAUUACUUGUUGACUGCAUGGUAAGAUUGAUACUUUAUAUAAGGAAAAAAAUUAUAUAGAGCCGAGGCUCUAAACAAUCAAAUUAGAGCCCACCUAAAAAAAUUUACUAGAAGAGGUUGUUUUGACACCCAAAUAUCCUGAAAUUGAUCAUCUACACAUCAAGAUGCAUGGACAUGAGAGAAAAAUAGAUUUCAAGUUUUGGAAAUAGUGCAUCUUGUAACACAUUUUUGGACAGUCAAUUAUCAAGCUUUCAUAUUUCUGCUUGAUCUACACUAUUUUUUAAGCUUUAAAUUAUAUCAUUAAAGAUGAAAAGAUAUUUUAAGGCUAUCACAAAGAUGUCCAGUAUUGGAACCAUAUUUCUCGUAACUAUUUGAAGGUGCGCUUUACUUUAAUGGUUUAGAGCCUUAGCUGUAUACAAAAUGCACCCCUUACAAACGUUUAUAUAAGUAUGCGACCUUAUAAUGUAGAACUACGGAUGCCCAUAAAAAAUCCAUCGGAAAAUGUAGUUUUAAUGUUGAAAAACCCAUUGAUUGAUCAUCUCGACAUCGAGAUCUAUGACUAUGAAAAUAAAAAGAUUUUAAGACUCAGUAAUUGUGUAUUUACUAACAUAUUAUNNNNNNNNNNNNNNNNNNNNNNNNNNNNNNNNNNNNNNNNNNNNNNNNNNNNNNNNNNNNNNNNNNNNNNNNNNNNNNNNNNNNNNNNNNNNNNNNNNNNNNNNNNNNNNNNNNNNNNNNNNNNNNNNNNNNNNNNNNNNNNNNNNNNNNNNNNNNNNNNNNNNNNNNNNNNNNNNNNNNNNNNNNNNNNNNNNNNNNNNNNNNNNNNNNNNNNNNNNNNNNNNNNNNNNNNNNNNNNNNNNNNNNNNNNNNNNNNNNNNNNNNNNNNNNNNNNNNNNNNNNNNNNNNNNNNNNNNNNNNNNNNNNNNNNNNNNNNNNNNNNNNNNNNNNNNNNNNNNNNNNNNNNNNNNNNNNNNNNNNNNNNNNNNNNNNNNNNNNNNNNNNNNNNNNNNNNNNNNNNNNNNNNNNNNNNNNNNNNNNNNNNNNNNNNNNNNNNNNNNNNNNNNNNNNNNNNNNNNNNNNNNNNNNNNNNNNNNNNNNNNNNNNUAGAUUUUGAGAUAAUCCUAAAAACAUUUUACAUCAAAAUUAUGUACCAUGAUAAAAUUUGAAGGUGCACCUUACCUCUACACCUACGGAUGUGUCCAUAUGCAAACUGCACCCUUAUAUAAAUUCGUUCGUUCUUGAAAUACAUAAUAAUCGAUAAUAAUAUUAAUAUUUCGUUAGUAUUUGAAAAACCAAGUUUAUUGUUUCAUGGUCAGUCAUGCCCCGUUUCUCUUCUAACAUUUGACUAAUUUUAUCUUUUAUUAAAAUUAUAAGAAAUUUAUGCUCAUUUGUUAUUACAAUUGUCCCUCAUAAUUUUCUAUUUUACAAUAUACCCCUUUUUUAUUCCGCACGCUUUCAAAAGGAAAGCUUUAUAUAGAGCCGAGUCUCUAAACAAUCAAAUUAGAGCCUACCUCAAAAAUUUCACUAGAAGAGAUUGUUUUGCUGCUCAAAUAUCCUCAAAUUUAUCAUCUCGAUAUCAAGAUACAUGGACAUGUGAAUAAAAUGGAUUUCAAGUUUUGGAAAUAGUGUAUUUUGUAAUGCAUUUUUUUACCGUCAAUUUUCAAGAUUUUAAAGUUUUCAUAGAUUUAUCGAUCUACACUAUUUUCGAAGCUUUAAACUUUAUAUAAAUAUAAAAAUAUAUUUUAAGGUCGUCACAAAGAUUUCCAGUGUUGAAACCACAUUUCUCGACACUAUUUGAAUGUAGGCUCUAAUUUGAUUGUUUAGAGCCUAGGCUCCAUCCAAACUACACCCUUUUCAAAAUGCCCCACUUUCUAGAUAAUUUACCCACCUUAAUUUUUUUUAACAUAUUUUUCUCAAAAAUCAAGUUUUAUAGUAAAUACCCCCAAUACAAAAAGUUAAUUUUUUUUUGAACAAAAAUACCAUCAUUUUUUAACAUUAAUAAAAGGAAACACUGGAUCGCGGUUGUAUAUUGCCGGACCCAUCCAUUAUGCCGAACCGGAACUGUACACUGCUGGGCCGCCUAUUCCAUACACAAUUUUUAAUUUUGCCAGAACGUAACUCACAAAUGCCAGACUGCUCAUUAAUCCAGAAACAAAUGACGGACCACCUCUUUCAAACUCCAGAUCGCCAUGAUGAAGUGUUGCACUGCAUAAUAAAAUAUCGAACCAUUCAAAAUCAAUGACUUAAGCACCAGACUACCUGUUCUAAAUGGCGGACCGCUGAAGUACCAUAGCAUCAUAGUCAAUGUGUGAGAUGAAGGAAGGGUAUUUUAAUAUCGUGUUUGAUGUAAGAGAGGGGUACUUAAAUUUUUUUUAGUCGGAGAUAUAUGCAAGGUAACGUAACGUGGCUUUGGAAAAAAAAAAGUUGCGAAAUGUUAGGUUAGGGAUAAAUUGUUUACAAAUUUCAUUUUUUUCCUUAUUUUUGUUUGCUAUAUCUUAACCUCGAAGAAUCCAAAUAAAAUCCACCUCUCUCUCUCUCUAAGAUCUACCCCUCUCUCUCUCCGUGUGUAAAAAUACCCCAUGCCGCUCUGUUCAUUUAACGGCGACUAAAUGGAGGGAAAAUGGUCGGAAUUCCUUUUUCCGGCGUCUCUUACAACCAGCGGUCGCCCCGUUCUACAACCAGGCGAGGUCGAAUGCUCAACCCUAGACUCAGUCGAUCUCGAGCUCGUUCAAAGCCCUGACCCUAACACUAAUUUCCCGACUCUGAGAUCGGGCUUACUCAUCCUCACCACUUUCAGGUUCCUGUUUAUUGACCAGAACUCUAGGGUUUCUUUCUCGAUCCCUCUUUCUGUAGUUUCUCAUGUUUCUGGCCCUAAGAAGUCUAUCAAGAGCAUGUUCCAUAGCCCAAGAAUCAGGGUCAGGGUUUCGGUCUCAAACGAUGGCAGGGUUGCAGAGAAAGGCCAGAGAUUUGCAGAGAUUGUUUGCGUUCUGAGGGGGAAGAGUGAUCCUGAUUCGUUUGUUGGGAGGUUAUGGGAGGUUUUGAGGUCGAGGCCAUGGGAGAGCUUGGUGGGGUCAGAAGAUAAGAGAGAGAGUGAGGUGGGGAGAGUUGCAGAGAGCUCGAGUGUUUGGAGGCCUGCAAUGGCUGGGGUCUCAGGAAUUCUUAGAAAGGAGCAGGAGCAGUGGGAGAGCACUGAUAAGAGCUUGCAGGAUGCUUUCCAGGAUUUGAACGCUUUAAUGGUAUGCGGCUCACUCUGUCUCUAAAAAUCAAGUUUUAAUGUGGUGAUUACUCUCUCACUUCGGAUUAAGAUUGAAGGUUCAUCAAAAAGCAAAUUUGUUAUAUAUUUGCGGUAAUUGAAUAAAAAUCUCAAAUUUGAACUUGUUUAUAUUGAUCUGUGAUUCAAAUGAACUGAAGGUCCACUAAAAUGGUGGUAUUCUGUGUUUCAUCACGAGCACACUUGGGACCAUUUUUGAAAUUCAGCCUGAAUCUGCCUCAAUCGUGAAAUGACUCCCUUUGGGUGAGUGCAAGUCCAAUUCCAGCUGGAAUUCAAUGAAAUUGGGAAGAAAUUCUUAGGAACUUCACUCAUAGAUUGGCAAAAUAAUAUGGCAAAACCUGGUGAAAUUUUGGUCUGAAAUUUGGCUAGAAUUGGUUGUGUUAUGGCCAAUUGGCGAUUAAUUAUGUUUAGAAUAGGUUGUGUUAUGGCCAAUUGGCUAUUAAUUAUGUUUCAGCAUUGUGAGACUCGGCGGAGUUACUAGAACUAGCCCCUCGGUGAGCAGAGUUACCCUGAGUUCUUAUGUACAACUCUGAGCAUAUUAAAAAUAGAAAAAAAUCCUAAAAGAUAUACUAAAGUAUGGAAUCUAUGUGUGUGUUUCUAUAUAUAUAUAUAUAUAUAUAUAUAUAAGAACACACUAUANACACGUUAGUACGGACGACUAACGUAGAACGUAGUUUAGUUUUACGUACCUAGUACGGUACGUCGUAGUCGUUCCGUUUCGUUUNNNNNNNNNNNNNNNNNNNNUAACGUUAAAAUUAAAAGUAAAAAAAGUUAAAAACUAAAAACGUAAACGUAAAUAACGUUAAGUAAGUAGUAGUACGUAUAGUGUGUGUUGUAUAUAUAUAUAUAUAUAUAUAUAUAUAUAUAUAUAUAUAGAAAGCCACUAUGCAACGCUUAUGGGCGCAAAUGAACAGUAUUUUUGCCCAUAGGCUCAGUGCCUUUCGAUUUUUUUGGACGGCAUUAUAGCAUGUCCAUGGCGCUUUCUUUUCACGCAAACAAAACACAGGAAACCGCCAUGGCUCCCAUGGAUCCGUGACGGUUUUUAAGGCAAAACCACCACGGACAUAGUAUGUCUAUAACCGGGUGAAAUACAAUUUAAUUUCGCCUAUAGGCGUUUUUAAGAGUUUUCCUAUAUAUAUAUAUGAUAAUGAACUGGGUUCAUAUACCCUAUAUACUGGUCUUUGGAUGUUACUAUUUGUCCUUGUUAAUCCACCUAGUAUAGGUCUUUGUAGCAUGGAAGAGGUAGAAUGUCUUGAUGGCACAAUAUGUCUAGAUGGUAUUCGACCAGACUCUUCUGAUAGAUUUAUCCUUGUGCGUCUGUUUGUAUUAAAUUGUAUUUCAACAUCUCCAUCAGGAUAUUCAAUAAUUUGGUCUGGUUCCCUGUUAAUUGGGACUUUAGAUUGUUGGUUGCCACAGUGUAAGGACCAAUUUUUUAGAAGAGUAAUUUGGGACCAGCUUAUAGACUUAUGUAUGACUGUAUUCAUUUUUUCCAUAUUGGUUAAAAUAAUACAGUUUGUCCUGUGGUGUCCAUUUGAAGGGCAUUAGGACAUAGAGUGUUCAUUGCCUUAUAACAUAUUCUGUAUACUAAUACAAUAUUUUGUGAUCCAGGGUUCAUAUCAAACCCUUGGGUUUUUAUGUUUAGAGUAAGAACUUUUAAGAAGUUAGGGUCUGCUUGGGAGACAAAAAAGUUUGGAAAACAGUUAAAAUAUAUAGGUCCAUUGCAGAGGCUGGACUUUAUUAUUCCUAAGAGAGAGUCUGAGAAUUUAUUGUGACGAUCGUCUCUUAAACAUAAUAAGACUGAGUUAUUUAAUCCUAAUUUAGUUAAAGGUUUUAUGGCUAUCUGUAUAAGGCCUAUAUGCAGAUAUCGAUAUUCCUUAGAUUUAUGAUUUUGUAUCAUUCUAUGGGAGAGUAACUAAAAACUUUCUUGUUCACUAGUUAUAGAUAUACUUUGUUCUACUGUUUUAAUAGCAAAACUAGACUUAAACUCGAAAGUUCCUUUUUUAUAUAUAUCGGUUAUAGGGACCUUUGGAAUAUUCCAAUUAUGUAUUUGUCGUUUUAUAUUGUCUAUGGUUACUUCUUCUUUAUUUUUUACUCGUAGUGUACUAUUAGACGAGGAAGCUGUUCUAUUGGACAGAGUCCUGAUAAAAUUUUCCAUUUAGGAUAGUGGGUGAAUGCUGAGUCAGUCGGAAACAGUCCCUGUAUCUUUUUCACGGCUCUUCCUGGCCUUUUUCAGUAGUGCGGGUCACAACAACUUUUAGGUUUCACUUCCUUACUAUCUUUAUAGUAAAUUUUAUUAGGUCUUUGACUUUUAGAACAGAUAUCUAGUAAUACAGUUCACCACUGUAAACCUAUGGCUCUGAUACCAACACACACCUUUUGAUUUGGACUUCAAGAUCCUUACUCUUCAAAAAGAAGAAAUAUUCAAAAUAGAUAUAGAAGGAAUUAAAAAUGAUUUCAUGUCUGAAGAAAACAAAGAAAUCCGAGACUGGUAUCUAGCUGAAUUCCCCCAAGAAUUACUAGACGCUGUUCAUAAGAGAUUUAAUAAAUUUAUAAAGAAAAAUAAACAAAAUAUAGGAUUCUUUGAUUGGUUACGAUACAUUCUGAAAGAAAAAGAUAUACCAAUCCCAGACUUUGGUAUUAAUGCUAUAGAAAAUCAGUACCAAACCUUCUAUACCCAUGAAGGGGAAGAAAUACAAAGUAUUCAUCCCCCUGAAAAAAGUCUCCAAAUAAAAGGGGCACUAAAAGAAAAACCUGAGACCAAAGCCUCUCCUUAUAAAAUAAUUCCACAGGAAACUGAACAUCAUACCCAUAAAAUAGAUGUUAUACCUCAUAUAAUUGAACAAAAUAACUAUACUAACCUUUGCCUCCAAACCAUUGGAAAGCAAACAACCAGAAUUGAAAAUAUGAUUGGUAGACCUCAGAUUAUACCCCAAGAAAAGACAAUUGAUACAAAUAAGAAAAAGGCUUUGUUAUUUAAACCUCCUCCAGAGCUCAGCAAAGAGCAGUUUAGCCUGGACGGUGUAAAGAAAAAGGAAGAUAAUAAACAAUUGGUAGAUGAAUUGGUAAAAAAGUUAUUUAAACUAAGCAUAAAAGGAAACAGAAUAGUUAUUAAGCAAGAAGCUAUGGUUUUGCAAGAAGAAGACUUAGCCAAUAGUGAAAUCCAACAAAUGGAGGAAGCCUUGAAAUAAAUAGGAUAGACUACGGGAGGAAAGUAAGACCAACUUCUCAGACCAGGAUGUAUUACCCAAGACCUACUCCUGUAGAUAUUCAGUUUGAAGAAGAUCUAAUAACUAGCGCAGUAUCAUAUUCAGGAAGGACAAUUGUCAAUUGGAAUAUAGAUGGUAUGUCUAAGAAUACUCGAUGCAAUGAAACAUAUGACCAUGUACGCAACAGCGUGCAAAAUAAGCGGAAACCAUGAUCAAGAAAUAGCCAAAGCCAUUAUCUGUGGUUUUACUGGAUGGCUAAGAGGAUGGUGGGAUUUCCAUAUAGAUGAAAAUAGAAAAAGAGAAAUGCUGGUCGCCAUAAGGCAAUGGACAGUAAAAAAUGAGUUUGGCCGAGAUAUAGUCAAUAGUGGGAGUGAUGCAGUAAACACCCUGAUAUAUACUAUUACCCUUCAUUUUGUAGGGAGUAUUGCACUGCUUGAUGCCAGGUUAGAAGAUCUCCUUUUUAGCCUGAGAUGCCCAACAUUAUCUCAUUAUAAGUGGUAUAAGGAUGUAUUUUUCUCUCAUCUUCUUUCCAGAGAAGAUAGUAAAUCAGACCACUGGAAAGAGAAAUUUAUUGCUGGUUUACCACAUCUUUUGUUGAGAAUGUCAAGACAAGAUUAAAAAAUAAGCAUGGAGGAAUAAUCCCAUACUCUUUAUAUACGUUAGGAGAAUUAUCAGCAGAAAUUUGUGCAGAAGUUCUUGCCCUCUGUACAGAUCUAAAGCUAAAAAGACAAUUAGAAAAACAAAAAAUGACACGCAGAAAAGAACUAGGAGAUUUCUGUGAACAAUUCGGAUACAAUACUCUCUGCCUAAAGAUACUGAAAAAAGAAAAUAUAGGCAUAAAAAAUACAAACCAGAUAUCAAUAGAACCAUCACUAAAGAAAAAUCUUCUAGAAAAUUCUCUCCCAAGAAUAGAUUUAAGAAAUACAAGGAAAAAAGAAAAAUACCUAUCUGUUAUAAGUGUGGUAAGGUAGGGCAUUCGAAGAAUAAAUGCCAAAUACAAAAGAAAAUAAACGCCUUAUAGAUAGAAGAAAAUAUUAGAAGCCAAUUAUUUCAUAUACUGCAAAUAAAUAAAGAAUCCUCUGAGCAAUCAUCCGAUUCUGACACAGAACAAAUUGUUGGAGAAAUAGAUGAUGAGAAUUUAAUUUUUAGCAGUACAGAAUCAGAAGAUGAUAAUUGCUUCUGUAAUACACUCGCUAAAGAAGAAAAAUCUAAUUAUUGAUAUAAUAGGUAAAAUUAAUGACCCUGAGGCUAAAAAAGAAGCCUUAAUACAAUAUAUUAAUAUAGCAAAAGCCAACAAGAAGCUCCCUCCUCUUGUCAGAACACAAGAGGAUUACAAUUUUGCCAAAAUGCUUAGGAAAGUCGAAGAUAAAAAUAAUGUUCAAAAAGAACCAUCUAUAUCAGAAUUAAAACAUGAACUAAAUGAAGUACGAAAUGAAUUAAUAAAUUUAAAAAAUAGAAUACAAAUUUUAGAACUAGCCUCUAACCAUCAAGAAAAUAGUCUUGACAAUUCUGAUAAAGAAUUAGAGUUUAAUAAUAUUAUAAAUAAAUAUAAAAAACCUCUACCUUUUAUAGAUGAAAAACCAGAAUCCUCUAGUACAAUACAAACUGAUAAUUAUGUAAACCUACUCGAUAAAGUGGUUACUCAAAAAUGGUUUAGAUUAGUAAAGAUAAUAGUCCAUAAAGAAUAUAGCUUUCAAACAAUUGCAUUAAUAGAUUCAGGGGCCGAUCUAAACUGUAUAAAUGAAGGAUUAGUCCCUACAAAAUACUUUAGUAAAACAACUCAAAUAUUGAAUACAACAGAUGGUAGCAGGAUGGUUAUAAAUUAUAAACUUUCAGAAGCUGCAGUCUGCAAUAACGGUAACUUCUUUGAGUUCCCUUUUAUUAUGGUCAAAGGACUAAACCAAUCCGUAAUAUUAGGAACUCCAUUCCUAAAUAUGUUGUAUCCAAUAAAAAUAGAUAGUUCAGGAAUUGAAGCCAAUAGUGAAGGACAUAAUGUAAAAUUUGAGUUUAUUGAAAAACCUAAAACCAGAGAAGUAAAUAAUAUCAAAGAAACGAUUUAUAAUAAAGAAAAGUUUUUAUAUCACCUCAAAGAAGAGCUAAAAGAUAAAAUAGCUGAUAAUAAACUAUCAACUCCUGAAAAUAAAGAUUUAAUUGAAAAUAUUAAAAAUAAAAUAGAAAGAGAAAUUUGUGCUGACUUGCCAAACGCUUUUUGGAAUAAAAGAAAGCACAUUGUAAGCCUACCUUACGAGGAUGAUUUUCAUGAAGAAAAAAUACCUAUUAAGGCCAGGCCAAUACAAAUGAAUCCCUGAUUAUUAGAAAUCUGCAAAAAAGAAAUUGAUGAUUUGAUAAAGAAAAAUCUUAUCCGGAAAGGUUCUUCUCCUUGGAGUUGUUUCGCAUUUUAUGUGGAGAAAGCAUCCGAAAAAGCGAGAGGGGUUCCUUGGCUAGUAAUAAACUAUAAACCCCUUAAUAAAGUCUUACGAUGGAUAAGGUAUCCCCUCCCUAAUAAGAAGGAUUUGCUUGAUAGACUGGUAAAUGCUUGUAUCUUUUCCAAAUUUGAUCUAAAGUCUGGAUAUUGGCAAAUCCAAAUUGCUGAAAAAGAUAAAUAUAAAACUGCCAUCAACGUCCCCUUGGGACAGUAUGAACGGAACGUAAUGCCCUUUGGGCUGAAAAACGCUCCAUCAGAAUUCCAAAAUAUUAUGAAUGAUAUUUUUAAUCCUUAUAUAAAAUUCAUGAUCGUUUACAUUGAUGAUGUGUUAAUAUUUUUUGAAAGUAUUGAACAACAUUUUAAACAUCUAAAUAUUUUUAUUAAAACAAUAAAAGCUGCAGGGUUAGUAGUUUCAGCAAGGAAAAUUAGUCGUUGUCAGACAAAAAUAAGAUUUUUAGAACAUAAUAUCUUCCAAGGAAGCAUAAUCCCAAUAGAUAGAGCUAUAGAAUUUUCUGAUAAAUUCCUAGAUAUUAUCUUAGAUAAGACAGAGCUUCAAAGAUUUUUAGGAUGCCUUAAUUAUAUCGCUGAUUUUUACAAGGACCUAGCUAUUGAUGCUAAACCAUUGUUUCAAAGAUUGAAAAAGAAUCCACCAAAAUGGACCAAAGAACAUACUAUGGUUGUUAGAAAAAUAAAAAUAAAAGCCAAGGAAUUACCCUGUCUUACACUCUCUAAUCCUACUGCUUUCAAAAUAAUUGAAUGUGAUGCCUCGGAAAUAGGAUUGGGUGGAAUACUGAAACAAAGGCUUUCAAAUACAGAACAGUUGGUUCGUUUUACAUCUCGUGCUUGGAAUCAAACACAACAAAACUACUCUACGGUUAAAAAGGAAAUUUUAGGCAUUGUUCAUUGUGUGACCAAAUUCCAAAGCGAUUUACUCAACCAAAGGUUUUUUAUAAGAAUCGACUGUAAAGCCGCCAAAGAUAUUCUUCAUAAAGAUGUAAAAAACCUUGUCUCUAAACAAAUUUUUGCAAGAUGGCAUGGCAUCUUAUCCUCUUUUGAAUUCGAUAUUGAGCAUAUUAAAGGAAAUAAUAAUUAUCUGCCUGACUUUUUAACUCGUGAGUUUGUACAGGGGGACAGGAGAAUAAUACCAAACAAGGGAAAGGGGAAGAUGGACAUAGUUCCAUUACCAGGCAAAACCCUGAUAACCUCACCAAUAACCCCAAAUCAGCUAAUUAGAAAGCAAGCGUAGGAAAUAACUUUCUCACCUAAGGCAAUACCGACAUCUAAUAGCUCAUGCGGAGACAAAACGAGGUUCAUAGAAACCUCCUUUAUAUCCACAAUAAUAAUAGAGGAUAUUCAUAAAAAUAGAGACCCAUAUGAAAUAGCAAAUAUUUAUUUGAAUAACCACCUUCAUCCAUCCAAUAAUGAUAAGACCCGGGAAUGGUUUGAAGUCAUCCUUCUAGAAACAGGAUCAAUCACAUUGGUCCAUUUUUAUAGGAAAAAUACUAAUAUAAUAGCCUACUCCAAGUUUCAGAUCCGAAAAAUUAUAUCAUAUGAAGAGUGGGGUAUAGACCCAAUAAAACCUAGAAGGUUACAAACCGAAGGAUUCAAUAAUAAAUAUUUUUGAUAUUAUGAUUAUAUGGAAGCUUGGCAUAAAGUUUUUGCCUUCCAAAAUAAUAAUAAUUCUCAUAUAUGGUUUAUCCAAAUAAAAAUACCAUUGAUAGGAGAAUUCCCCAAUUGGUUCAAAAACUGGUUCCAACUUUGGGGAUCAGGAACGGAAAUGUUGCCCCAAAAAAUACAAGCCUCUCAGAGAAAAUUUAUUGAAUACAAUAAUAAUAAUACAAAAAUAGAUGUACAUAUGUAUUUCAUGGCCUUUUAUCAAAUACCAUGGAUCAUGAAGUGGUCCUAUCAAAUAUCUGAUGAUUAUACACAUAAUUGGGAAUACUUUCCUGAAUUGGGAAGACAAAUAUAUAUAAAAUGGUGGGACGUUUAUGAGAACAAAGCUCUGGACCCAGAAAAUAUCAAAAUGAAAAGAAUACCGGUUACACCCCCAGAAGCGGGAAUCAAUAUGUUUGAUUAUAUAAAUAAAAUGCGUCAACAACAUCCCACGGCUAGCAAAGAAGACCUUAAAAAGAAACUACUACAAAUAUUCGAUGACGACGAAGAAGCCAUGUCCACCUCUACACAGAAUGAAGACUAUGCUCAAGAAAACGAAGAUUGUGAAUUUCGACUAUCUCAGAAUUAGAGCAGGCCAAACCUGGGAUGGGAUGACUGUAACUUGAUAGCACACGUGUCCCAAAGUAAGAUGCUGCCGACAAUAAAGGAUACUGACAGAAAAAGAUAGGGCUGACACUUUUGAUGCUGUCGACAAUAAAGGAUACUGACAGAUAAAGAUAUGGCCUACACUUUUUACUAUUCCCACUAUCGGUCAAAUCGGUCGACACCUUUUUACUAUUCAUAUUUUGUCUCUUCUUACCGACACCUUUUGCUGACACCUUUUUACUGUUCAUAUUUUGUCCCUUCUUGCCGACACCUUUUACUGUUUACCUUUUACUAUUGACAAGACAACGAACGUCAAAUGAAAAUUUCGCGUUCGCCAUCUAUAAAAGGGGAAGGGAAGGAGUCAUUCAGGACACGAGUGUUCUCCCCCAAUAACCAGCCCUCUUCUCUUAGCUCUCUUAGUCUCCUCUGCUCUCUUAGUCUCCUCUACCUGCAAGCUCUACAGCUUUCUCUCAUCUUUGCAACCUAUCUCCGCGUACCCGCAGUAAUCCUAUCUGGGUAUUUCUGUAUCUCUCUACCAUCUUUACAACUCUCUGUUCUCUUUGCCGUUGCUCUGCAACCUCAAUGUAUAGCUCUCUCUGUCUCUCUGUGACCACUCUUUAAGCUCUCUGCUAUCUCACUGUUACAGCUCUCUCUGUUACCACUCCUUAAGCUCUCUGCUAUCUCACUGAUACUCUGAAGCUCGACAGCUCUCUCUAACUCUCUGUUACCACUCUCUAAGCUCUCUGCUAUCUCACUGUUACAACUCUCUCUGUUACCACUCUCUAAGCUCUCUGCUAUCUCACUAUUACAACUCUCUCUGUUACCACUCACUAAGCUCUCUGCUAUCUCACUGAUACUCUGAAGCUCUACAGCUCUCUCUGACUCUCUGUUACCAGUCUCUAAGCUCUUUGCUAUCUCAUUGUUACUCUGAAGCUCUACAACUCUCUCUGUUUCUCUGUAUACUCUGCAAUCUCUGUGCAACUCUCUCUCUGAUACUUUGCUCUCUCUCUGAUACUCUGUAACUCUUUGAUACUCUGUAACUCUCUUUGUUAUUGUUACUCUCUCUGUAACUUUACUACUACUCUCCUUUUCCCUUUUCUUUCUAUUGUAUAUCGAGUGGUGUAUCUAGCCACACCGAAUCUGUAAUUGUGAGGAUAACAUACAUGUGUGGGAUUCUCCACCGAGUUUUUACCCAGAAGAGUGGAAGUUAUUUUCAAGUUUUUGCAAGUGCCAUAUGUAAGUGUUUCUAUGCAAGUUAAGUUUAUAUUUUGUUUAAAGUUUAGAGAUACUACUUAUGUUAAUUGGAUGGUAAUAGAUAUUUCUCUAUGUAUGUGUAUUGUUUUUCUGCUAAUACUUCUUCUCAUGAAAUUCGUGUACCCUUAGAAUAAUUGUUGUUUCACAAUAGUAGAUUAAGUAGCUUCUUAAAAUAGUUGUUAAAAUAGAUCUUGGUGUGUGUUGGUAUCAGUAUUUGGAUGUUACUAUUUGUCCUUGUUAAUCCAUCUAGUAUAGCUCUUUGUGUAGUAUGGAAGAGGUAGAAUGUCUUGAUGGCACAGUAUGUCUAGAUGGUAUUUGACCAGACUCUUCUGAUAGAUUUAUCCUAGUGCGUCUGUUUGUAUUAAAUUGUCUUUCAACAUCUCCAUCGGGAUAUUCAAUAAUUUGGUCUGGUUCCCUGUUAAUUGGGACUUUAGAUUGUUGGUUGUGACAGUGUAAGGACCAAUUUUCUGGAAGAGUAAUUUGGGACUAGCUUAUAAACUCUGGUAUGAGACUCUUCAAGGGUAUUUUGGUUAAUUUAUUUUUUGUAAAUUAUUGUUUUAAUAUUUUUAUUAGGUGUGUCUUGAUGAGAGGAAUGAACGCCUAAAAUUUCAAGUGAUUUGGAUUUGUAUAAAAAAAAUUAAAAUUAAAAUACGAAAUGUAGUUGUGAUCAUCAGAUCAGCUCAGAUUCAAAUGGUGUGGAGAAAUGUGGUUUCAAUACGGGAAAUCUUUGUGAUAGCCUUAAAGCAUUAAACAUAGUCUAGAUUGAGUAUAUCUAUGAAAAUUUGAAAAUCUUGAAAAAUUGACGGUUCAAAAAUGCGUUACAAGAUGUAGUAUUUAAAAAAUAUGAAAUCCAUUUUUUUCUCAUGUCCAUGCAUCUUAAUGUCGAGAUGAUAAAUUUGACGAUAUGUGGGCAUCAAAACAACCUCUUUUAGUGACAUGUUUGAGGUGGGCUCCAAUUUGAUUGUUUAGAGCCUCAGCUCUAUAUAAACUUUUUCCAUAUAUAUAUAUGUAUAGGAGAAGUAUACAAUAAGGCCAUUUACUUUUUGCAUAAGGUAGUCGCAAUUAAUCUUGACCUUUGGAUGUGAGAUUGGGUGGUUACAUUUAGUCCAUUGACCAAGCACAAAGUUCAAAAGAAAUUUUCUCGAAUUUUGUUACACACUCAAGCUAUCAACUUUCACUUCUGAUAGUCAUAGGCAGUUGUGACCUUCUUAUAUAAUACGUAAAUGGUCUCAUUGUAUACAAUCCCAUAUAUAUAUAUAUAUGGGAUACUGUCUUGCACCAUACAUUAAGGUAAAUGGAGUGUAUAGGCAGGAUACUGUUUUUAUUGAUAUUAUGAAUUUUGCAGGAUACUAUUUUUGUGGCAAAUUAAUUAUAUGGGAUACUGUCUUGCAUCAUUUUUCCUUAAUUUAUUAAGGCAAAAACAGUAUCCAGUAGCCGUUUCAGGUAAAUUAUGAAUUUUGCAGGUUUUAUUCACUUUUGCAAAACUUUUGGUAUUAAAACAUGCACCAUUGUUGCAUACUACUGCAUCAGACAGUUUGUAAUUUAUUAUCAUUUUACUUCCAUCAGCAUUAUUUAAUACUUGUGUUGUUUUGCUAAAAUAUUUGGUUGGAACUAAACCUUCAUUUAUGCAAUUUAGAUCUGCUCCUAAAUCUAUAAGAGCAGUGGUCUGAAAAGUGUAUUCCUUUUGCACCACUAUUUUAACAAUGGUAAACCAUCUCUGGGUUAUAACUUUAUCCAGGAGGUUUACAUAUUUAUAAUCAUAUAACUUUCUUAGCAUAUUACAGUUAUUUGAAGUUUGUGGAUCAUCUAUAACUUUUGGGAGUGUAUCCUCAAUUUCGGGUGGUAGAAGAUUGUGAUUAUAAUCAUGAAGUUUUAUAUAAAGUGCCUCUAUAUAAAAGAGAGUUAUAGACCAAAAACAUAUAACUCAUAUAUAGAAACAGAGGGACAGGGUAAGGCACUUACAUGGAUAGUAGUCGUGAUAGUAGAUAACCAAAAGAUGUACACAGAAGCACGUUUUUACAAAGCACACACAACACACAACACACUCUUACAAAGCACACUCUUACAAAGCACACAACUUAAGACUCUUAAGAAGACUAUUGCAGGAAGCUCUGCAACGUUUCUAUUCGAAGGUGUCUUCUCCUUUGGUCUGGGUUCCCUUUUAUAGAGUAGGGAAGGCGGACUUCAAACAGUUUUAAAUCCGCACCGACAAAGUGAAGAUAAGAUUCGCAUUCAAAAGUAAAAGUAAAAGAUGCUCUUUACAUCAAUUAAAGAAAGCAAAUUAAAAGAUUCUUCUACAGUGUUUUGUCGACAAUAAUGGUUUUUACUGUAGAGCUCUUUUGGGGACGUGUCCUGAAUAGUCUGGAGUCGUACUGCCCUUGAUCUUUUCUUCAAUUUAUUGGGGAAAAUAUUCUUGUACAAUUGUCUCUAUUUGGAGGGUCACAGUCUGCUAUAUCAUUUUUUGAUAAAGUGGGUGUUUCAACUUCAUCUUCUUCAAGGGCAAAGAGUAGCCUUUUUCUAAUCUCAGCUUUUGAAAGAGUUGGAUUCUUUUGUUGCAUUAGUGAAAUAUAUUCAGAGAAUCCUAUGUCAGACUGUGGCCCAAAACUUGGAAUGACUUUCAUAUAAUCUUUUCUGGCUCCAAAGAAUCAUUUAUGUAGGCAUCCCACCAUUUAAUUGAAAUUUGCCGUUGUAGUUUUGGAAUAUAAUCCCAUCGAUCCAAAUUAUCUUCAGAAAUUUGGUAGGACCAUUUUAAAAUCCAUGAGACCUUUUUAGACUAUUCUUAUUAUAAUCAGAGAAUUUUAUUAUAAUCAGAGAAUUUUCUCUGUGACACUUGCAAUUUUUCAGGUAGUAUUUGGCGUAAUGAUCCCCAUUAUAGGAACCAACUUUUAAACCAAUUUGGAAAUUUUGCUGUUUCAGUUCUUUUAAACUGUACGUACCAACUGUGUAUGUUUAGUAUUUUGGUUUGCAAAUACUUCAUCCCAGGCCUUUAUAUAUUCGAAAUAAUGAUAGGAUUUGAUUUUAAAUCCUUUGGUAUUCAAUACCCUUGGCUUUAAAGGGUUGAGACCCCAGUCUCUAUAAUAAAUGAUUUUAUGCAUCUGAAAAUUUGAAUAUGCUAGUUCUGAGUCAUUGUUUUUGUAAUGGUGUACUAUUGACACCAACCCGAUUUUCAUUAAUAUUGUUUCAUACCAUUCUCUAUAUCUGUCUCCCAUAUUAAGACGUAGAUGGUGGCGUAAGUAUAAAGCUGCUAUUUCAAUAGGGUCUUUUUCCCUGUGCUCAUUUUCUAUUAUGAUCAACGGUAUAUAUACUGUGUCGAGAAAUGGAGUUUUAUUUUGGUUUGGAUUAUUGGUGCUUAAAGGGGAUUGUUGGGGAGGUAUUUUAAUCUCUUGAGCGUGCUUUCUUAUUAAAGCAUUUGGAGUGUACGAGGAAGCCAUGGUCUUUCCUGAGCUGAAACUAUUUCGAGCCAGGUAUUUUUCUGAGCUGGAACUAUUUGAAGCCAGGUAUUUUCCUGAUCUGGAACUAUUUGAAGCCAGGGUUUUUCUUAGGCUAGGGACUAUGUCCAUUGGUUGAUGUUGGCUUCUCCUUCCUUCCCUGUAAAAAUUCUCGAGUCAAGAAGUUAGGAAGAUGGUUAUCUUUUCCUUGAAUAUGUUCAACAUCGAAAUCAAAAGAAGAUAGAAUUCCCUGCCAUCUAGCAAAGAUUUGUUUUGCGACUAGAUUUUUUAAAUCUUUUUCUAAAAUGUCUUUGGCGGAUUUGCAAUCAGUUCAGAUAUUUUUUGUUAAGCAAAUCACUUUGGAGUUUUGUCACACAAUGAAUUAUUGCUAAAACUUCUUUUUUAGUAGUAGAGUAUUUCUGUUGGGCUGGGUUCCAAGCUUUAGAUGUAAAGCUUAUAGGUUGCUCAUCAUUUUGGAUUUUUUGUUUAAGAAUCCCUCCUAACCCAAGUUUAGGCAUCUGUCUCAAUUAUUUUGAAAGCUGUAGGAUCAGAAAGGGCUAAACAGGGUAUUUUUUUGGCUUUAAGUUUUAAUUUUUUAACUGUCAUGGUGUGUUCAUGAGUCCAAUCUGGAGGGUUUUUUUUUAAGCUUUGGAAUAAAGGUUUAGCAUUCAGAGCCAAAUCUUUAUAAAAAUUUGAGAUGUAAUUCAGACAUCUUAGAAAUCUUUGUAAUUCUUUUUUAUCUUUAAUGAUAUCAGGAAAUUUGGAGGCAAAUUCAAUUGCCCUGUCAAUAGGGAUUAUUCUUCCUUGAAUAUAUUAUGUCCAAGAAACCUUAUUUUAGUUUGAAAAAGGUUUAUUUUCUUGGCUGAAACAACUAAACCUGCACUCUUUAUGGCUUUAUAAACGAUGUUCAGAUGUUUCCAAUGCUGGUCAAUAUUUUCAGAAUAAACAAGGACAUCGUCAAUGUAAACAAUAAUAAAUCUGGUAUAAGGAUUGAAAAUAUCAUUCUUAGUAUUCUGAAAUUUUGAAGGGGCAUUUUUUAACCCGAAAGGCAUCACAUUCCAUUCAAAAUAUCCAAAAGAGACAUUAAAUUCUGUUUUAUACCCAUCUUUUUCUAUUAUCUGGAUUUGCCAAUACCUUGAUUUCAAAUCAAAUUUUGAGAAAAUACAGGCAUUGGCAAGUCUAUCUAACAAAUCUUGUUUAUUUGGAAUAGGAUAACGGAUCCACCUCAAUGUUUUAUUUAAAUGCCUAUAAUUUAUGACUAGAGGAGGUGCUUCUCUUUCAAUUUCUGAAGCUUUUUCCACAUAAAAAGCUGCAUAACUCCAAGGUGAAGAACUUUUUCUAAUAAGGUUCUUAUCAAGAAGUUCUUGUAUCUCAGUUUUACUAAUCUCCAGGAGCCUACUGUUCAUUUGUAUAGGUCUGGCUUUAGUAGGCAUUUUUUGUUCAUUAAGGCCAGGUUCAUAAGGAAGUUCUAUGAUAUGUUGCUUUCUAUUCCAAAAGGCAUUAGGAAUGUCGACACAAACUUCUCUUUCUAACGUUUUUUUGAAAUUAUAGAUUUUACCUUGUAUUUGAGGUAAAGUUAAUUUUUCAUCAAUAAUCUUAUGCUUUACUUCUUCUUUUAGAUGAAGAGGAAUUUCUCUUUAGUAGAGAUUUUAUUUUUAAUGUUAUUUAUUUCAUGGACAUUGGGUUUAUCAAUGAAGUUAAAUUUUACUUCAUGUCCCUCAAUAUCUGCUUCUUUCCCAGUAUUAUCAAUUUUGAUAAGAUAAAGCAUAUUUAAGAAAGGAGUUCCAAGAAUAACAGGUUGGCUUAAACGUUUGGCCUUUAUAAAAGGAAAUUUAAAACAUGCACCAUUGUUGCAUACUGCUGCAUCAGACAAUUUGUAAUUUAUUAUCAUUUUACUUCCAUCAGCAGUAUUUAAUACCUGUUUUGUUUUGCUAAAAUAUUUGGUUGGAACUAAACCUUCAUUUAUGCAAUUUAGAUCUGCUCCUGAAUCUAUAAGAGCAGUGGUCUGAAAAGUGUAUUCCUUUUGCACCACUAUUUUAACAAUGGUAAACCAUCUUUGGGUUAUAACUUUAUCCAGGAGGUUUACAUAUUUAUAAUCAUAUAACUUUCUCAGCAUAUUACAAUUAUUUGAAGUUUGCGGAUCAUCUAUAACUUUGGGAGUGUAUCCGCAAUUUCGGGUGGUAGAAGAUUGUGAUUAUAAUCAUGAAUUAAAUCAUUAAAUUCUUCUUCAGCAUUUUCAUUACCACUUUCAUCUUUAGUGGUUGCUAUCUCUAACAUUUGUACUCUGGUUUUUAGAGUUAUAAGUUCAUUUCAAACUUCAUUUAUUUCAUUUUUUAGAUCAGGAAUUGUAGGUUCUUUGUGGACUUGAGUUUUAUUUUGAACUCUUUUUAGGAUAUUCGUAAAACUAUAAUCUUCUCUAGUAGGAACAAGAGAAGGUUUAGAAGAACUCGAGGGUUCUUUGGUUAUAUUGAUAUAAUGUGUCAAGGCUUCUCCUUUAGCCUCGGGAUCACUUAUCUUAUCAAUUAAAUCAAUGACAAGAUUUCUUCUUAUGUGAGUGUAUUUAAGAAAUCACAAUGACAGUCUAUAUUAGUCUUUUCUUCAGAAUCUGUUUCAGAGUCUGAGCUUCAAAACAUUAAAUCCUCAUCUUUUAUUUCUCCGAUAGGUAAAUCUUCAUCAAAGUCAGAAGAUUCAUCAGACUCAUCUCUUUUUAUUAAUAAAAUAUCGAAUAACUACUUUUUGAUCUCAAGGUCUAUUUCAAGAGCAUUUAUUUUCUUUUUUACUCUAUAUUUAUUUUUAUAAUGUCCUACUUUCCCACAGUUGUAACAAACUGGUAUUUUUCUUUUUCCCUUUUGUUUAAAAGAGUGAUCAUGUAAGAAUUUUUUAGGAAAAGUAUUUUUCUUUCUUAUAAUUAGACUUAGAUUUUCUAGAGUCUCUAUAAUUUUGUUUGUGAGUAGGCUUGGAAGUUGGUACAGUAUUGAACCCAAAUUGCUCACAAAAGUCUCCUAAUUCCUUUCUCCCCCUCAUUCUUUGCUUUUCUAAUUGUCUCUUCAAUUUCAUGUCUGUGCAUAAUGCAAGACCUUCAGCAUAGAUUUCUGCUGAGAGUUCUUCAAGGGUAUAUAAGGAAUAGGGAAUAAUUCCUCCAUACUUAUUUUUUAAUCUUAUCUUAACCUUUUCAGCAAAAAGAUUAGGAAGUCCAGCAAUGAAUUUUUCUUUCCAAUGAUUGGCUUUACUAUCUUCCUCAGUCUGGAGUAAAAAUACAUCUUUAUACCAUUUAAAAUGUGAGAUAGUUGGGCAACGUAAGUUUGAAAGUAGAUCUUUCGAUCUAGCAGAUAAAAGGGCUGUACUUCCCACAAAAUGAAGUGUAAUAGUAUAUAUUAGGGUGUUUACUGCAUCUCCCUUAGUCACUAAAUUUUCUAGAUCCUGUCCUUGUCCGACCUUAGCUUUUAUAUUAUAUUGUUUAAUAGCAUUCAGAAUUUGAUCUUUGGCUUCCUCAUCCAUGUGGAAAUCCCACCAUCCUCUAAGCCAUCUGGUAAAUCCGCAUAUAAUGGCUUUAGCAAUUUCGUGGUCUUGAUUUCCACUUGCUUUACAUGCGGUGGCAUACAUUGUCAUAUAUUUCAUAAGAUCAAGAAUAUGAUUUUCAGACAUCCCAUCUAUAUUUCAAUUUACUAUGGACCUUCCUGAAUAGGAAACUGAACUGGCAAUUAGGUCUUCCUCUAUAUGAAGAUCUACAGGGGUUGGUCGAGGGUAGUACAUUCUGGUUGGCGCAACUGGCCUGGUUUUUCUCCCAUAAUCUAUUCUAGUAAUUUCUAAGCUUUUGAUUUAAAAGCUUUUUCUAUUUCAGAUAUUUGUCGAUUUGAAAAAACUUUUAUCUUCUUGGAGGACUUGUACAUCACUAGAUUUUUCUUUUAUAUCUAGUUUUUCAAGUCGUUUUACCAAUUCAUUUACUAAUUCUUUAUUAUCCUCUUUCUUUUUGAUUCCCUGUAGGUUGAAUUUUUCUGCCGCAAUAUUAGGAGGUGGUUUGAAUGAAACUGCCCCUUUUUCUUUUUCUUCUUUCUUCUCCUGGUGUUGAGGUUUUAUUGUAUUUAGGACAUUCUCUAUCCUAUUAGUUUGUUUUCUUAUGGUUUGUAGGAAAAGAUUUGUAUAAUUAUUUUGCUCUAUUAUGUGGGGAAUGGCUUCAAUUUUAGCCAUCUGGUUCUCAAAAUCUUUUGGUCCAAUUUUGAAGGUGAGGCUUUUAUGUCUUGUUUCUCUCCUUUCAAUUGUAAGCUAGUUUCAAGUGGAUGGAUAGCUUCAAUACUUUCUCCUUUAACUGUAUGAAAAGUUUGAAAAGUAUUUUGGACAGUAUUAACCUGAGUAUUUACCUGGAAUUCUGGGUAUUUUAUUCCUUCUUUUUUAGGUAUAUACCUCAGCCAUUGAAAAUUUUUACAUUUGUUUUAUGUUGUAACAUGAAUUUAUUAAGUUUUAUAUGAAAAAUUUCUUUUAAUCUUUCAUUAAAUUCUUGAAGAAAUCAUUCUCUUAUUUGUUUAUUUUCAUCAGAGAGAAAAUCCUUUUUAACCCUUUUUUUAUCUAUGGUAAAGUCAUCUUGAGUUUGGGUUGUCAGAAUUUCAAAAUCGAAUUCAGACAUAGUAGGUUCUUCUUGCUCAGUUUGGGCAGAGCUGAAAGUAUUCACGGUAUAGACUGAGUGUUGAACCUGGUUCUCAAUUUUCUUUAAACUUUCAAGAAUAAUUCUAUCAUUAUGAGCCCUUUCAUAAUUAGAUUGAAGUAUAGAAGAAGUUGAACUUCUAGGAGGAAUUCUAGAAGGAAUUCUCGGAACCAUAUUCGAAAAGACAGUAUUUGAAAUGGUAAGGCACUUUUCUACUGAAUAAAACUUGGCUCUGAAUAAAACUUUUCGUAUCAGGUAAAUUUCGGAAUGGAUACCAAAAGUUUUGCAGGAAGACAAACAUACAUUAUGAAAUGGCUUAUAACUAUCCAUUUUAAAACUAAUUUAAAAUUAUAUAUAUCAGGAGCCUUUUUAUGGCAAAUUUGCUAUCACUGAUACCAAAAUUUGCCUAUAUUUGGAGUGUAUUUUGCAGGAUACUGUUUUUAUGGAUAUAUGAAUUUUGCAGGAUACCGUUUUUGCGAAUUUAAUACACUCCAUUUACCUAUAGGCAAAUAGGUAUACUGUUUUUAAAAUAGGUAUAUAUAUUUGCCUAUAGGGAAAUUGGCAAAUAGGUAUAUAUAUUUGCCUACAGGCAAAUAGGUAGUUUUGCCUACAGGUGCAUCUAUGGACGUAUAUCCUGCAAACAGUUUACCUAUUUGCCUAUAGGCAAACAAUAUACCUAUUUACCUAUAUAUAUAUAUAUAUAUAGGAAAAGUUAUAUAAGNNNNNNNNNNNNNNNNNNNNNNNNNNNNNNNNNNNNNNNNNNNNNNNNNNNNNNNNNNNNNNNNNNNNNNNNNNNNNNNNNNNNNNNNNNNNNNNNNNNNNNNNNNNNNNNNNNNNNNNNNNNNNNNNNNNNNNNNNNNNNNNNNNNNNNNNNNNNNNNNNNNNNNNNNNNNNNNNNNNNNNNNNNNNNNNNNNNNNNNNNNNNNNNNNNNNNNNNNNNNNNNNNNNNNNNNNNNNNNNNNNNNNNNNNNNNNNNNNNNNNNNNNNNNNNNNNNNNNNNNNNNNNNNNNNNNNNNNNNNNNNNNNNNNNNNNNNNNNNNNNNNNNNNNNNNNNNNNNNNNNNNNNNNNNNNNNNNNAAUUAACGGUCCAAUGAUUCUUAAUGAUAUUAUUUCUAGUUUUGAAAUUAUUAUUUUUUCAUAAUCAUGAUCUCCUCCACUGUUAGAGAUUACAUAGCCUUAAAAAUUAAGUCCAAAAAUUCAUCUCAAAAAACGAUUUAUUAAGGGGCCCCCAUUUCGACGUGUGCGGGCUUGGCCUGCAUGCUAACCACAUCCAUAUGUAUUUUUUCUUUUGACAAGGUAACAUAGGAAUAGAACUUGAGACAUAGCGCUAUGAAAACCCAGCUGCUACCUUUAAUGUAUAAGAAAUUUCGAUACAUAAUUUGGAUGUAAUUGGCAAAAAUUGGUGAGUUUUUUGUGCCAUAUGCCCUAUUUUUAUAUUUUUCCUUUCCUUUGAUUUUUUUCCCAACCAUAUAUAUAUAUAUAUAUAUAUAUAUAUAUAUAUAUAUAUAUAUUAAAUCAUGUUUAUAUACUAUUUUAAGUGGGCUCUUGGCCCUGUACAGUACUCAGGCAAGUCCACUCGGACUUUCCUCUUGAGGGAGUCUUGAAACACUGGUGUUUUGGUCAUUGCUCAAACCCUUUGCUUCAGUUUACUGUUUUUUUCUUUUUUGGUAAGGCGAUUCUGGAUCUUGAAACACUGGUGUUUCGGUCAUUGUUUAAGCCUUUCUUGCUGUUUCUCUUUGCUUUGAAUUCCUGUUAUUAUGUGCCUUCACUUCUCUGUACUCACAAUAGUGAUUAUCAGUGAAAUUUCUUGGUUACUGUGUGAAUUGCCUUUUGAUUCAUAGAGACAUUUGGCAAAAUGGCUUCUCGUUCAUUGAUGUUUCUUUUAGUCUUUGAUAUUUGAUAAAUUUGAUUUACUCCCUUUUCUUUAUGCGAGCAACCUUUGGCUUUUGCACUUCAUGCUUUUUUACAAUCACAAUAAUCCACCAUAUGAUAUGAAUUUUAUGGUCAUAAGUUACAUUGAUCUUGGACAUAAUUUGUGAUGCAUGAUGAAGUAUUUGCUAAACUUCUUCACCAACAUUUCUUAUUUCUUUGAUUCACGAGUAUGAUUAAAAGUAGUUCUCGAGCAUCUUUUUCUGUGGUGAAUGUUAUAUAUUUUAGUCCAUGUUGUUCCACUUCCAUCCCCCUGCUCUCCAAUUUUUUCUUGGGCAAAAUGCCUUAGUAUGCAUAUGAUUUGCAGAGUAAAGCUAAAGAGAUGGUGACGUUAGCGGAGAAGAUGAGGUUGAAGCUUUUAGCUGGGCCGAAUUCGCAAAACACUGGAGCAAACGAGGAGGAGAUGGGUUCUAAGCAAGAGAUGCAGGAUUGGCUUCUCAGUGUUGGGAUUGUAUCCCCUGUAACAAAAGAGACAGCUGGUGCUCAAUAUCAUCAGCAACUGUGCCGCCAGGUUAUUUUUCUUGUGCUCUUGCUUUCUUCACAAAAAUCGUGACAACUUAUAUAUUUGUGUGUGUGUGUGUUUGUUUGUUAGUCUUUGGCCAAAUAAAUUCAUGAUCUUUAUCUUUGUGUUUGUGUGUGUGUGUCUGUGUGCAGCGUGUAUGUGCCUUUAGGCAUUUUCUGGGCAAAUAAGUUCAUGGUCUUGAUAGAGAUUUCUUUAAACAUCAAAAGCUUUCUUUGAUUUGUGUUGGUAAUUCAGCUUGCAGAUUUUGUUAAGAUACCCUUGGAGAGAGCUGGGGGAAUGAUGGCAUUGAUAGAUGUUUAUUGUCUUUUUAAUCGUGCCAGAGGAACUGGUAUGUAUUAUAGAAUUUAUUAUUUCUACUUCAAUGUUGUGUUUCUUAAUUUGUUUAUUAAAAGGAAUUCACAUUUUCUUAGUUUAAUGAGUGGAUUUUAUAUCCCUUGUGGCAGAGUUGAUUGCGCCAGAAGAUUUAUUACAAGCAUGUGCUAUUUGGGAGAAGUUUGACGUGUAUGCAAAACAGACCUUUCAAUCUCUUUCAGGUUCUAAUGCCCUAUUUGAUCGGCUCAUCUAGUAAAUCUUAUAAGGGUUUUUAUUAUGUUCUCAAAUUUAUAACAUAUAAGAGCAGGGACUAAUUUCAAUGAAUUUCUUGAUGGCUCUUCCUUUUGACUAAUAAUUUUGUAAUUUUUAUGAUCAACAGUCCGGUGUUGCUUAGAAAGUUUGACAGUGGAGUCAUGGUUGUCCAAAGCAAGGCACAUAGCGAUGAGGAGGUAUUACUCGUAAUUUAGACUCAUGAUGAUUCUUUAGCUGGAUGGCGCUGAGAGAUAAUUCCCUGAAAGAGCUUGUGAAAGAAUGACCAAGUCUUGGCUAUUUGAAUUCCUACAUAGUUGGGGAUGAUUGAUGAUAGUACUGGCCUGCAUUAUUGACAAGUUGAGAUUUGUCGUGGAUUAUGACUACUGAAACCCAAAUAUCUCUGAAUUCCAAUAGCAAUGGCUUUUUCAGCCCCAGUGGUUCAUAAAUUUUAUUCUUCAGCCUUGUAGUUUGUAUGUUUGAUCAUUUUCUACUUUAUGGAAGUUCGUUUUGCUGAAAUUAAAUAUUUUUGUUAUUAUUAUUAUUAUUUAUUUCGCUUGAUUUCUUUGUGAGCCAUGUGUCAGCUAUUGUCAGUCUUCACUUCAUUUUACUUAAAAUUCUUUGCCUUAGGCAAAUUCUUUUUGGCUUUUUGAUCUUUGGUGUGAACAUUCAUUCUUGCAAGUUUAGGUCUUUGCAAGAAUAAGAUCCCUUGCGUUAAAACCAGAAGCCCUCAGGACGGGUAUAAGUCCAAGUGAUGCUGCAAGGACAUUAGGGGUUGCACCGGCCCUCGCCAAAGAGCACCUUCUUGCAGCUGAAAACAAAGGUUUGCAUGGUCUUUUUAAGUUGUCAUGGGGCUGAAAUUUUCCAUUUUUAUGCACUACUGAAUUUUCAGUUUUUCUUUUGUUGGUAUAUUAUGGCAUUAUGUUGGCUCUUUUUCUUUAUCAGGUCUGCUAUGCAGAGACAUUGCCCCAGAGGGUCUCCGUUUCUACUUGAAUUUGUUUAUUGAAGUUAAUCCAAGCAACAUGUACAUGUAAGUUGGACAUAUGCUUGCAAUAUUUCGAAUCUCUAUCUCUGGCAUUUAGUCUUACUUUAAUUGGGUAGCCAGACCUAUUGAAAUGAUCUCUAAUUACUGCGCCCUAACAUGCUUGAACUGGCCACACAUGAUUCUUCUUGGUUUCUCUCUUUUUUUAUCUUGAUUCUUUUGGAAAUAACUUUAUUGUCGUAGAAUAUUGGUACAACGAGCCAGAAUACAUAGAGCUAAUUAGCUACAAUGGGGGGAAACAAAUCCCCACUCGCAAAUGCAUUUUGAGGCUUCAAAUGAUUAUCUGAUAUUUAAUGGUUUUGUCUAGUAGAGAGGGGCACCUGUGUUUAUGUGGAAUGUUUUAUCAUGGAUGACCAGGCUUCUUCUUGGUUUCCUACUUUGGGGUGGAUCACCCAAUCAUUUAUUUAUGGACCCGGUUUCUAUGCGGCCAAGCCCACAUAUGUAGAAAUGCGGGCCUCUUAAUAAAUCUAUUUUUGAGAUGGAUUUUAAGACUUAAUUUUUUAAGGACGUGUAAUCUCUAACAUGGACAUCAUAAAUAUAAAAAAAUAAAUAAAUUUUAAAAACUAGAAAUAAUAAUUCUAGUAAAAAACAUUUGGACCGUUAGUUUCCAAUGUUUUUAGAUGUAACACCUACUUGCAUCCAUCUUUAAGAUGGAUGCUUUACACUUUCUUGACCUCAUAUGUAGAAAUGCAGUCCAGCCCACAUGAAACAAUUUUCCUUUAUUUAUUGUGGAUUAUCCUCAGCUUAGGGGUUUCCAAUUGUCGUGCUAUUGUGUUACGUGCUAUUGUGUUAUGUGCAUAAGCGUCAUGAAGACAUUUGACCAUCUCCCCAUUCAUGUGUAUUCACAAUAAGAAUUUGGGGUUUGUUAGGGGUCUGUUUCGCUGACAAUUAAUUUUAGGGUGAGGUUGGUGUAAGGCAUAGUUAGCUAUUCGGCGAUUAAUCGCCGAAUUUUUCAAAAAAUCGGCGCAUUUUUUAAAAAGGUUUUAAAUGCCGUUUUUUUGAAAAGUUUGUCCAAAAAACGUGUAUUUUUCAUAAUACCGUUAAAAACGCGAUUUUUUGGAAAACAAAUAAAAUGGCUCCAAAAAAACUUCUGCGAAAAUUUCUAGUGAGAGAAGGGGGAACUGCUAUCAAACCUUUGUGAAAAAUCCCUACUAAAAUCUGGGCACUCCCUCCCCCCCUUUGCAAAGAACUAUAUCAAAUCUCAGUGAAAAAAUGGUUUGAUUUUGGUUUGAUGGAGCUUUGAAGUUGCUUUAAUGGUGUCUCUGAGUCUUGCGCUGGUUUACUAUUACAGUGCUUUGAAUUUGCAUUCAACAAUGAAGCAGACCUCUUAUGGGUCCUCUUUUUGAGCUCAUCAAUGGCUGGUUUUGCCUUGUUAAUGAGCCAAUCCAUUGCUUUACUCGGCCUAUCAUAACCAAGCCGAUCUUGAACAUCAUAGAACUGAAUAGCCGUAUGAGCAGCGAGGCGGACACACCUAUCUCUCGGCCCUUUUGCUGUACUGACCUUGCUGUGCUGAUCUUUCCGACCUAUGGCUCUCACUAUAUGACCGCCUUCGACUUUCACUAUCUCACCUCUGCCUCCUAUUGACUGAAAGCUCAGCCUUUGCCUCUGAUUUUCCGAUGAGUUUUGCGGCUGGUUCCCCAGUGAUAUUGCCCCAUAAGUUUGAGCAUUGUUAGGGAAAGGAGAGAGCCAUGGGGUUUGGUAAUGAUGUUGAGUUUGAGAGAGAGGGGUUGAAAGAAAGGGGGGAGAUUCAGAGGUGGUUUCCUCUGGUUGAGAUUUGGGUCUCUUUCCCCUUCCAGAUUUGGGUCUUGAAGUGAUUAAUCUCAAAGGAUGUCUGCACUGUUAAUACUUCAUGGGUGAACCAGAGAUGAGCUUCUAUGGCAACGGCGGAGAUGCACCAAAGUGCAAGAAAGCUCAACAUCUUAGUAUUGUUAAUCGUCUCUCUCUCUAAAAAACGGUUUGAUUUUUCACAGAGGUUUGAUCCAAAAAUUAGUGAAUUCGAAAUAUUUCUAGAGAGAGAAGGGAGAACUGCUAUCAAACCCUGUAAUAUUUCAGCUUGAUCUAGCUUCUCUUUAUAUGGUGUAUUUUUUUAUAUGGAUUUAAGUAAGUUUGAUAUGGUGUAAUUUUUUGAUAUGUAUUUAUUUGAUUUUUGUCCUCCGAUUUUUUGAGUCUAGUCCGAUAUAUUGGCAAUAUCAUUACAUGAAGUAUUUUUGCCGAUCCGUAUUUUUUAUCCGAAUUUUUUCAUGCGAAUAUUUAAAAUAAAAACGAAUUUUUCCGAUUUUAAGGUAAGCCAAUUUAUUGAAAGUCCCCGACUUGUUAACUAUGGUAUAAGGUGCCCACCUUAUACUAUAAGUAAGGUGCAUCUCAAAAUUUUUCUAGAUGACGUAGUUCCGGUAUCGGAAACCUUACGAUGACCUCGAAAUCCACGUUCAACUUUAAUUAUGAAAUUAAAAAUGAUACAGAUUGAGUACAUCUAUAAACACUUGAAAAUCUUGAAAGUAGAUGGUCCAGAUAAGUUGCUAGAAGAUGCACUACUUUUAGGACUUGAAAUUUUUUCUUCUUUAUAUCUGUAUACAGUGUUUCAAAAAGCAUUAGGCGGCACCUAGGCGGCGCCCAGAACAUAAAUUUUUUUUUUGGGUUUUUCUCUUUCUAAAAUAGGCUUUAAUGGGUUUUAGGUUUCAAAUGAACUUAAAACCCACAAUUUUGCACGUUUAGUAUUAAAAAAAUGACCAAAAAAUAUCCUCAACGAGGGGCAUUUCCAUCCCUAGGCAGGGCGCAGGCCCUGUGCGGCCGCUCGGGCGAGUGCCUAGGGAUAUCCACUUUUUUUGGGCGCCUAGGCUUGGGCGAUGCGCCCAGGCCCUAGAACCGCCCAGGCGCUGGGCGGGCCGCUUUUUGAAACACUGUCUGUAUAUCUUGAAGCCGAGAUGAUGAUGGUCAAUUGGAACGUUUUUAACUUCAGAACUUUCUUUUCUACUGGAUUUUUGAGGUGCACCUUACUUCUAUAGUAUAAGGUUGCAGCCUUAUAUAAACUUUUCCCUUAAAUUUAAAUGGAAUAGACUAUCUUAUGUAAAACUAUUAUAGUCUCGAUAAAAUAAUCUUAUUAGCUGUUUGGUAUAUAUCAUAUGUUAUGUAUAACAUUAUUUAAUUAUUUAAUUUUUGCAAUGAAUUCAGGCUAUUUGUAGCUAUUUUUGGCAAAAAACAUGUGAUAGUGAAUAAAUUGAAACUGCUUUACAAAACAUAAACUUAUCUAUAAAAUUGCCUAUAAGUUUAACUCUGAUAAAUUUAUGAUGGAUGCCAAGCCCACUUGUAGCGCAGCUAUUGCUUUUUUUUUUUAGUUAUCAAAACUAAAAGCGAGGUGGCUGGCUGUGCAGAGUAUAUCCCUAACCCAUAUGCUCCAUGAACUCCCUUGAAUUGAUUGAUCAAUGAAACAUUGAGAAAUUGGCCAAGCAAGAGAGGUGCAUAAGCACUGAGCAAGCCAAAGACUGAACUUCAUUCACUCUUUCCUCUUUUCCUUGUUUAGCCACUUUGUCCUUCCUCUAAUUUCCGCUAGCAAACCUGCACUUGCUUAUCACAAUCACUUGCUUACAAAAAUCGUACUCAUAAGACAACAGAUAGAGGAGUCUCUCUCUUUAAGAAAACCCUAUCCUAUAUUAAUUAUAGGGAAAAUAUCCUAUUAUCCCCUGUUUUUAACUUCUAUAUCUCAUCAGACCCAAGAAUUGAAAAUAUUACUUGUAAGCAAAAGGACUCGAUCAUUUCUAUCUUCCCUUUUGACCAUGUACUAUUGACCUCAACAACUUAUGAAAUGACUCUAUCUCUCUCUCUCUCUAAAGUCUCUCUCUCUCUCUCACAUCAUCGUCUAUCUCUCUCAAAACUCCAUCUCUCUAAACCCAAACUCCAUCUCUCUCUCUCACAUCAUCGUCUCUUUUUCUCUCAAAAUUCCAUCUCUCUCCUUAAAACUCAAACUCCAUCUCUCUCUAAAACUCCAUCGCUCUCUAAAACCCAAAGUCCAUCUCUCUCUCACACAUAAGAAGUGUGUUCGUGUUCGAUCACAAGUUAAUCCCCUUGGCUGGUAAACUCAUCAAGAAGUGAAGAGAGAGAGAUAUGGAGUUUGAAUAGGGUGUCAUUUUAGUGUUUGUUUAGAUCAAAAAUUUAUGGUCGAAGAGGUCCAGGGGGUUGUAAGAUAGAAAAGAGGGAGACCUUUUGCUUACAAGAAAUAUUUUCUUGGGUCUCAUGAGAAUUGAGACCUAUUCUCAUGAGAACCCUGACCAACAUACCAGAACGGAUUCUCUAAGAUGGAUGCCAAACAACUUAUAGUUCAUUAUCGGAAUUAACUUUAUUUAAAUAGUGAAUUAUAAGUGAUAACAAGUGCAUCCCAACAGGCCCUAGACCUAUGCACCACAUCUUUGAGUGAAGCUUCUCUUAUCUGACCUCUCUUUUAGAGGGUCUGCGUUUAAGAUUUAUUCUAGCAAUUUAUUGGGCUUCAUGGAGUAGAAGGAUAUGUGAAUUUUCUAUGGUACAACUUCAAAAAAUGGAAGACAAAAGAGCGGAUUAAGGAGCCUGUUAUCUCUUGUGCUAAUCAUGGAACAGUUUAGCGGUAUUGAGAUGGCUGACUUGGUUUGUGCAUAUGGAUGCUAUCACAUUGGAAAGCUGUAUAAAUCAAAAAAAAAAAGGGGAAAAAAAAGAGAGAGGGACAAACCACAAUGUGGGAUACCGAAGUUAAAGAUGAAUGGGAGUUUGUGAGGGAAUUCUAGAGCCUCGAGUGAGAGGUCUCACUAAGACUAGCAAACCCUUGGUCCUAUUAGCUUUAUGCCCCCCCUGGGAAAUUGAAAUUCUAUUGAGAUAUUGGCAUAGAUGCUGCAUAAAUUGGCUCUAUAUUUUGUUAUUUGAAUUUGUUGAGCCUCACUGAGGAUGAGUAAUCAAAUGUUAUCAGAUGGGUGUGAUAUGAUAUAUGCUUCCAUGGAGGACUGCAGUUAUAUUUGAGGAUAUUUUGACGGUCAUCUAUUUUGUGGAAGUUUCCUUUUGCCGUGUCCUUAGAGAUCCCUAGUUAGACCAGGGUUAACUAGAAAGGACCUUAGCAAUAGAUUUGUAUCUCUUGUGCUUGCAAUAGGAACCUUAUUGCAAGGAGCCACCCCAUCUAAAGUUCCUGUAUUCUGAACUUUAUGUGUGCUUGCUAUGUAACUUGAUCUAACCUUGAUGUGCAUCUGUCUUUUAGUAUUAAUUGAAGUUACUUGCUGAAUAUUAUACCCAUUUUUGGGAAAUUUAUUAGAUGAUUGAGGUUAUUCUCUCUGUUUUCUGAAAAAUAUUUCCGUCCUGGCUUUUACUAUUUCUGCCAAAAACCUGCAGAUUUGUUCUCUGAUUCCCCAUUGUUUAAUGGCUCUCAAACCUCUUCUAUGCAAGUGAAGAUUCUGAUGUUGAAGGUUAAAUCUUGCAGGGAUCAACAUGGUGGUCUCUUGGGCACUUGGGUUUCAAUAAUUUCUAGUCAGGGCUAGCUAUCAUUAUUGUGCUUAUUCUUCAUUGGUGACACUUGGGGAGUUUGAUGCAGCUUUUUGGAGUAAGUUGUGGGGGAAAUUCAUGUAACACAAUUGUGUUGAGGACUAGCAGCAUUUCUCAUGCAUAAUAAUGAUUUAUUUAUGGGAGAGCUGAGAACCCUAUGUAUUUAGAUUUGCAGCACACCCCCUUUCCCCAAAGUGGAUUUUUUAUCCGAGUUGUGCACUGGUUUGCUAAUCAGGAUCAUUGUAUACGUGAUUUUAACUUGUUUGUUGCUCGUUGAAAACCUCUAAAAAUGAAUCUGGUGAUUUGAGGGUUGCGCCUUCUUAAUGGGUAAUUUUUAUUUUUGCCAACUAGAUCAUUAUUCUUUGUGAAGGGAUAAGGUCAAUGAUUGGUGGCAAUUGUCCUUUUCUUUUCUUUUUUUAAAGUGAAUUGGUGGCAAUUAUCUUUUUCUCUUUUACUUUUUUCUUUUAGUCCCUUGUUCUUUUGAUAAAUUGAGAGAAUAAUGGUUUUGUACACAAUUAUGUAGGAAAAUUUAUAUUGGAGGGCCACGGCUCAAAAUUAGCAAGAAAUCACAAUUCUAGCACCAAAAGACUCUAAAAUCGAGGAUGUUAACUUCGACUAUGGAUAUGAAAAGAAAAUGGAUUUCAAGCUUUAGAAAUAGUAUAUUUUAUAAUAUUUGCACGGUCAAUUAUGGAUAUAACAAAAAAAAUAGAUUUCAAGUUCUAAAAAUAAUAUAUUUUAUGAUAUUUACAUGGUCUAUUUUUAAGUAUUUACAAAACUGUCACCACUUUUGGAGCUUCGAGUUUCAUAUAAAGGGGUGGGGAAUAGAUUUUCGAAGUGGUAAGGUUUCUGGUGUUGAGAUUGUAGUUUCCAACAGGAUUUUAAAGUGUAGGUUUAUUUUGAAGCCUCGGUCUUACAAUAUUAUUAACGCAAACUGCAAAUUUUAUGUUUUGUGUUUGUCUAUAUAGAGACCAUUUAUGUUUUGUACGUGGAGGUCACAAUUAUUGUUCUUUUAAAUUUUAAAAUGGGUGGUCAUUAAAAAAAAGGUAUUUCUCGAAUUUUGUGACUUAUUUCAAGUCAUACAAUUUGAUGUUUAAUGAGUGGAAUUGAUUAUGAUCUUCGUGCACAAAAGAUAAAUGAUCUCUUUAUAGAUAUUUUUAUUUGUUUUUGUUCAAUUCGUUUAUUUAUUGCAGUUUAAGGUUGUAGACCUCAAACUCGUGCUUGGACUGUGACCUUCUCAAUCUAGGGAUGGUUAGAGGUUUUAGGACCCGAACCACUUGACUUCCACAAUAUUCAAUCUAGGGACUGGUUAGAGGUUUUAGGACCCGAACCACUUGACUUCCACAAUAUUCACACAAGCUAUGCGGUUCGAUCUUGAACUUUAACCUAGUUUUUACAUUUCAAUAAAAAAUAAAAAAUAAAAAAUGGUGAACUUUAAAACAACGGACAAAAUUGGAAAACUAAAAAAUGGUGAGUAUGCAGCAAUCUGAAGUACCGAACUGGUGGACUUUCCCGUAAAUGUUUAUAAAUUUUGGGCCUUUGCAAAAUUAUAAUAAUUAAGUAAGUUACGGAAAUAAAUUUUCCUUGUUCUUUUUUAGAACUAUAAUUUUACAACUCAAUAAAUAGUGCAAACCCGAUGACGGCAAAGAAAACUAUUUUGGUGGAGAGAAUAUUUAUUUAGGAUAGAUUCGUAGGAUUGAGCUAAAUGAUGUCCAAAUCGGGCUUGUUUUAAGUUUUGAAACUUGUUUUGUUUUUACUUUUAGUUUCUUGUUCUAGGUUUGGAACUUCGAUCAAGUAAGAGCCAUAUCAUUACCUUUAAUGUAAAUAAGUUGAGUCAAAUAGUGGAAGUGGUGGCCUCUAAAGCUGCCUCUUCAACCAACAUCAGAAGCUAAGAAGUCGUUGUGUCCCCAAAUUAACUUCGCAUGGGUUAAAAAAUAACAUAGCAGUUUAUAUUUAACAAACACAAGAAGUGCUACAACACCGGAAGCAAGUGAAAUCCGUGGUUUUCAGUAAUCAAACACGCCCUAAAGAAAAUUAGUAUGUGCUACAGAACUCGAAGGCUUUUAAAAAGUUAUUUUCACAUUAUUAUUGAGAGGCUUCCAAAGCUCUAAGUUAAAUAUAAAUCCAUGAUAGAUGCAUUAUUUAACAUUUUAGAUUUUGACAUGAUAUCCAUCCAUUAUUUAACAUUUUAGAUUUUUGACACUUCCAACUCAUGGUCAUGUGUCUGUCUAAGUGUUUUUUGAAAUUAAUUCAAACAAUAUAAAUACAAUAUCAAACAGUUGAUUUCAUGUAAGUAUUUUGAUAACUCCCCUCCCUCCCUCCCUCAAAAUACAAUAAAAAAUCUACCGCUUUUUUGCGUGAGGGAGUCAAUGCACAAUGCGGUCCCGCGGGAGCAGGCCAUAGACGCUGGGGACGAAUUCGGCCGGAAAUUAAGUGAGUUCAAAUGCGAGAGGCAAACCAAGUGUCGAACGCAGUAUGUGGGCUCGCAAAGUAGCGCGCGAAUAGAGGCUCUUUAGGGUUUUAAAACCAGCCUCUUUUUCUCUCUCAACUACCCACCGUACUCUAAAAAGUGCGAAAUCUCUACUCUAAAACCAGUUUCUAUGUAUCUUCACGCUCAAUGUCUUAAACCCCCUUCUCUCUCUCUAAAACCAGUGUCUGUGUCUUCACGCGCAGUAUCUUAAACCCUCUCUCUACCUAAAACCAGUUUCUAUCUAUGUUCAGGCUCAGUGUCUUAAUCGCUCUCUCUCUCUCUAAAACCAGUGUCUAUGUUCACGCUCAGUGUCUUUAAACCUCUCUCUUUAUCUCUCUCGCUCUUAUUCUUGUUCUUAUUUAGCAGUUUCUCUCUCUAGAAAAGAGUACCAGUCCACUCCAGUUUGUACUAAACCCAACCCCUCCAUCUACAACCAUUGUAACUGUACCCUGUCCUGAAAUCCUCUCUCUCUCUCUCUUUAAGAGAGAGAAUCACUGCACUCCACUGUGUCGUAAAACUCUCUCUCUCUUACCUGAAGAGCAAUAUAAUUUCUCUCUGAAAUGCUUCAAUGGCAGGCCACUCAAGCCUGUAGAAAGACCACUUCUUUCCCCUCUUUGAUGGCCUUCUCCUCUUCCCUUCGCCUCGCAACCAAAACCCUAGUUCGGUUCCACCAUUCUUCUCUGCAACUCCAUGGCUCCUUCACCUGUUUCCCGCACCUCCAAACCCCUAAUUACAGGUUUUUCUCUGUCAAAAAGGAGGUCAGGCUUUUAUCUGGUGUUUCGAGGGGGCCUGGUAAAGGCUCUGGUGUAGUCAGGGCAAAACGUAGAGAUGGCGGAGAUGAAGGAAAGGGAGAAAAGAAAGCCCUGGAAAAUGAUGAUGCAGAGGGUGGAAAUGGAGGGGUUAUGGUUAAGGAGAAGGCUUUUGAGGCCAGGGUUGUGAUGGCUGAGCUUCACAAGGAGGCCACCGAGUCUUACUUAGCUUAUGCCUUGUCUGUGCUUGUUGGUCGUGCUUUGCCUGAUGUUCGCGAUGGAUUGAAGCCGGUGCAUCGUCGAAUUAUGUGAGCACAACAAACCCUCUUUCUCUUUCUACAUUUCCUGGUCAGUGUGCUCUCGCUACAUUCCCUCUCUCUGUGGCUUCUGUAUCUUUUUUGCCUCUUGCCUGUGUGCUCUCUCUACGCUGGAUCUCUCUUUCCCUCUCUCUAUUUACCUUUGGCUGUCUGCUCUAUCUCUCUACUCCCUCUUCUUGCUCUUUCUGAGCUACCGAAUAGUGUAAACAGUGGAAUCACCUCUCUCUGCAUUGUACAUCGCGUGAGAAUAGUCCCUUUCUCUCUCUAUUUAUGUGUCCCUAUAAUAGAACUUCUAUUUCUCUAACUGGGUUCCUCUUUCUCCCUCUACACUGUAAAAGCCCUAGAGAAUAACUUCUCUCUAACGCAUCUCUGUCUCUUUCUCUCUCCUUAAUGUCGAGCCCCAGAAGUAGAAACUCUCUCCAUCCUUAGUUGGAUGUCUGUCUCUCUGUACACCAUCAUAAUUUAUUUGGAGUACUGCUGUCUCUCUGCAUCCUAUUUGUUGCUCUGAUUUUUCAUGUACAAAAUCUCUCUGAAUUAUUUAAAUGAGACAUCCACGUAAAACAUUUCUUGAAGAGCACGCAAUUUGUGGGAUGCCUUCCAUAUUGCUUUGCUGCAACCAAUACGUAAUAUAUAUAAAGUUAAACCUUUUCUCGAAAAACAAAAAAGAUAGAAAAUUUGGCAAAAAACUAAAUACAGAAUCCUAUUUAAUGCAGAUUUGCAAUGCAUGAAUUGGGUUUUUCAUCGCGAAAACCGUUCAAGAAAUGUGCUAGAGUUGUUGGUGAGGUACGGUUGCUUCUAUUGUAAGAAUUUCUAUAUAAGUUUCCCCAUAUUGUACUUACAACUUCAGCUCUAUUGUUUUGUAUUUUCAGUAGCAAUAUGAGGAAUUUGGUUCUUGGGCAUUGUAUAUCAUAAAACAUAAAUGCAUUUCUAUGUUCAUGCCUUAUCUUAUCUUCAAUAUUUCGAAUAUAUGUUUCCUUUUUCGCAGGUGUUGGGAAAAUUCCACCCACAUGGAGAUACUGCUGUCUAUGACUCAUUGGUCCGGAUGGCCCAGGUAAAUCAUAGAUGAUUUCACAGUUUGGUUCUCGUAAUUAGAUACCCAUCCUUUUGGUUUCAUCAAAGAAACAUGUACAUAUUUACCAAAACAAAAACAAGAGUAAAGAAACUUGUACGUUAGAGUGAAUGCACCUUUUAAGAUACCGUACUAUUUCGCAUUCAGUUUGGCAGUGUGCAUGGAAAGAAGUGUUUGAAUUUAUUAACUGUUGGAAGUAUUAGGUUUCCUUUUUGUUCUCGAGAAGAAUGAUAAUACAAAACUUCUCCUUAUCUGAUCAAAGAAUGUCUUUAACUUUUGAGGAUUCGGGCAUUUGUCUAAUGCAAUUGGUUUUCUUUGACUACAUUGUAUUUUGAUUCAUGUAAUACUGUUGGUUAUUUAGUUUUUUCUUUUGGGGUAAAAAAAAUAUUAGCAGAGUCAUGAUUAAACCUUUGCUAAAUAUUAACAGUUACAGGAUACAAUAAAAUGGUGUUAGAGAGUGCAAUGCAUAAUGUUUUCUCUAAAAACAUAUGUUUUAUGUAAUUGCCCUCGUUGUAUUUGUGCAUAUAAAUCUUAUAUCGAAUAGAUAAUAUACUUCAUGGGAGUGAAAUGAAGAUUUUCAUCUUUUGCAAAAACCUAACCAUGAGUAUUUCUUGAGUCACAAUGUUGAGGAUGUAAUUCAAGCAUCCCAACAACCAACCAGGGAAAAACAAAAAUAGGAAAGAAGUGGAAGACAGACGUUAAAACUUCCUGUUGUAAAGAACAUCAUUCCGCCAGAUUCAGAUCGAAAAGACCUUUCAUUUUUUAGAAUCAUCAGUUUAGAAACUCAUAAUCAAUUUUUUUUUAUUUUUUUUGAAAAUUAUUCAUCUGGUGAUACUAAGGUGAUUCCCAAAAUCUCAGAUCAGACAAAUCCUCCUAAUGGAGUUUCACCCGAGGGAGCAAGUGUCCAAUUGGCUCCUGUGGUUGUCUGUUACAUUCUCUAUUUUUCAAAUAUACUACAUGUCUACUUCGCUGUAGCAUUUAAGGUUUAUUGAUACGUUAUGAUAUUCUAUUCAAAUAUGGUUCCUCUCUGAAUUUAGUUAGAUGGCUAUCCCGAAGCUUAUGCACUCUUGAGGUUGUUUCUCUAAGUCUUGAUAUUAUAUGAUGGCUGGAGGAGUACUAUUUGUCCCUUGAGGCUUAAUCUUGGGGCAUAUGUUGAGACUUUAGUAUGUUGUCUUCUGUGAAGUUGUUUCAUUGCAAACUCUACACUGUGCAGUUUAUGGAACUUGAAUGCUCUUAGGAGAGUGUGGGUUUUUGGGACAUGCUACGAGCAUGAAAUCCCGUGUUCAAACUUUCAUUGUGCUUUUAGUUUUCAUUUAUAGUUGUUAAAAACGUCACACUACCGUCAUUAUUUUGUCUGCUCUUUCUUUGGCCUCUUGGUUAUUGGUGGGGCCAUGACUUGUUCCAUAUUAAGGUACCUUGAUUGUUUUUGGUUUCCUGCUCGUAAAGUAUUAAGUGAUAAGAUUGUUUUCCUUGUCAAUACUCAGUACUUUUCAAUGGAUGAUUUUUUUUCUUCAUUUUGAUCUCAAAAACACUGAAUACAUUGCUCUUGUUUUUGUUAAAAUAUACUUAUUAAGUUAUUCUUUCCGUCCAAUGUUUUAAAAAACGGUCCCCCUAGCGCCUAGGCGGCCUGGACCAAAAAUCCGCCUGCCUAGACCCAGGCAGCCCUACAAGGGCAGAUGUACCUGGGCGGGCGCCCAGGCGGGCUAGACGGGCGCCCAGGCGGGCUAGGUGGGUGCCCAAGCGGGCUAGGCGUUUCUCAUUUUUUUAAAACUACGGGGUGCUGGGCGCCAGGCAGGCCGCCUAACGUUUUUUGAAGCCUUGUUUCCCUCUUCAAAGAAAGAACAAAGUUCUUCAUUCUGUCUUCAUAUUUUUAAAUUAUUUUAACAAUUUAUUACCUAGUCUAGAAGUCAUAAUGAUGUGUGAAUUUUGCAUUUGAGCUGCUGAUACUGUUUUGUGACUUUUAGGACUUCUCAAUGCGUUGCCCACUUAUUCAAGGGCAUGGGAACUUUGGGUCUAUUGAUGCUGAUCCACCUGCUGCAAUGAGAUAUACAGAAUGCAGACUGGAAGUAGGUUUGAGCUUGUGCUUAGUUUGGCCUAUCUCCCUGUUUAAUAAUCUCUAUUUGCAAUUCUGUCUGUUUAAUCAGCUGUGUCCUCCCAGUUUGUGAAUUUGAAUGAAAGCUUAUGUUGGAAUUAUUUUUUAAUUUGUAUUUUUAAUUACUGUUGGAAAUGUGGAUUUCUUGCUGUUGUUAUUCUGGACAUCUGAUCUGCACGGAAUUGGUUUUAAUUCUUCUGACAAAUGUUUCAUCGACUAUAGAAACUAGCUGCAAUUUUUGUCUAUAUGGAAAGGGCUAUCUACACCCUUAUCAUUGAUUCCUUGGUGCUGAUUCCAACUGAUCUACAAACUUCUGCUAAAUAUGUCAUUUGUGUCACUUUCUGUUCUUCACAUUUUCCUUUUUUUGUUUCUUGAUUAUUGGUCGAUGAAUCAUCUUGAAGGUACUCAUUUGUUUAACUUGAAAACUUUCAGGCACUCACAGAAGCUAUGUUUCUGUCAGAUCUCGAACAAAACACGGUAAACAUGGUCUUUCUCAUGCUCAUUAUGGCAUGGUGUCUCUCAAGGCUGUUUUUUACAUUCUCUUAUGUGUUAGUUGUUACAAAUUGUUAACCAACUGAAAAAACAAAAAAUAGUUAUUUCUGGAUCUAAACUUCAAUGACCCGUAUGAGCUUUACAAAUUUUUUUUUUGAUGCGUGCUUCGAAGUGUUUAUUUCCUAGUGCUCGAUCUUGAGAAUAUUUAAUUUUCUUCCAUUGCUAACAUUGCAAUGUUCAGUUAGUGGGAUAGAUAAAAGUAAAUGCUUGGGUCGCAAAGCUAAUGAAAUUUAAAUCUAUUAAAAAAAAAUUAAAUCUCUAUGAAAUGUAUUCACAAUUUAUGUCCUGCUUUUCAUAAUGAAUAUUUAUUUUGUUUUUUUUUUUUCUUGGAAACAUGCCCAUCAUGAGUAAUCUUUAACAUAAUGGCAUUUUUGGCCACCUUUGGUUGAUUUUGAGGAGAGUGUACUCAUAAAUUUCUUUAGCUCUUUGGGCUCAUUCAUCAGUUGGAUUCAUUGAGUUUUCCUCUAUUUUCAUUGGUAAACCAUUACUUGAAUUGGAAUAUGAUUGAUUCUCUUUGGAUGUAAAUACAUAUGUACUACUUAUUUCUCAAAAAAAAAAGGUACUACUUUAUGUCAAUAGCACUAUAUUUUAAAACAUCCUUGCUAAUGUUUAAUUUGGUUUCAGGUUAAUUUCGUUCCUAACUUUGAUGGGUCUCAGAAAGAGCCUUCGCUUCUGCCAGCUCGAGUUCCUAACCUUCUGUUGAAUGGUUCUUCUGGGAUUGCGGUGCGUCAAAGGUUUUUUGAGUUCUAGACGCACUUGCACUCAAUUUCUUUAUUGUCCAUCCUAGUUUUUGAGUUUCAUAUGUUAUGUUCUAUGCGUGCAGAGAAUGAAAACAAUUAUUCUUAAUUUUGUGAUAUUUCCUGUUCUGUCAGGUUGGAAUGGCAACCAAUAUCCCUCCUCACAAUCUUGGUGAACUGGUAGAUGCACUCUCUGUAUUGCUUCAUAAUCCUGAUGCUACAGUAAGACAUGAUAUUUUCCAUUCCUUAAAAGUUUUAUUCUUCCCUGCUACCUUAGCGAAAAAAUAAAAUUUUUAAUCUUGGGUGUUGUAUAUGUGUCUCGGUGCCCCUGUUUUUACUUACAGUAAAUGGUUUUUGUAUGUACCAUUGAAACACUGGAUAUAAAUCUGUGAUGUUGUGUUUUCUUGAACCUAAUAAGUUGCAUGAGGUCAUAUGUUUUUGAAGUACCGCUACAUUUUUUUUUUUUUGGAAUACCAUUUUCUUGCCAUAUUUGUGACUCAACUCUUAUUCCAGAACCAAUGAUGCAUAGUGUCAAAAGUUUACAGAAUUGAACAGCUAUUAAUUGGGAAAAUUUUCAAAUCAUACCUACGGUUUGUACUGUUCAAGAUUUCAUCAUAUCUUUUGGUCUAAUUUGAAAUUUCCCUGACUCUGUUUAUCGAAUCUCAUAUAACCGAUCAAGGGGCACAUCAUUAUGGGUUUUGAAAGGUAUCAAAUCCUAUCUAUGCUGAGAUGUUAAUUAGUUCAAUUUUUAGGUGUGAUUUAAUAAUUCCCUUUUUAAAUUGAGCAAGCUGCAUGCCCCUGUUACGCAGUUAUAAUGAUGUAGGUUUCAUCAUGUGUUUAGUUCCAGGAAACAGUUCAAAUGACCUGAAUCCUUCAAUAUAAAUUUUAUACCGGGACAAGGUCUUCCUAUUGUUCAUAAUAGAGUCUGAACUCUCUUGCAAAUGUCAAAGUCUCUUGUGGUCAUUGGUUUAGUUGGUUGAACAACACCAUAAAUGAAAUUUGACUUUUGAUGUGGAAAAAUCUGCAUUUUCAUGUGUCAAUUUUUUCCUCUAAAAGAGACCUGCUUUUCAAUGUUUGCAGAAAUUGCUUAUUUAUCUUCAUGUGUGAUGAUUGCUUUUACUUUCCAUCCUUGGGCUGUUUCUGGUCCGGUAACCUUUUUUUCUGAUAGGUUUAGCACUGUAGCCUUGUUACACAGGACUUUUUUAUUUUUUUAUUUUUUAUUUAUAUAAAAAUAGCCGUGGAAUGGUCUCUUUUUUAAGCAUAUUGUAUUUUUUUGAUCUGGGCAUUUUUAACUCUUUAAAACACUUGUUCAAAUGGGUAGAUUACUAUUCACCCCCGAAAUUACAAUUCCUAAAUGUCUGAAGGGCUACUUGUUUCUCUCUGGAGUAUGGCCCAUUUUCUAGGCACAUGCUGUUCGAUUUACGAACCGGUUCGUCAAGGCUAAGAGUCGAUUUUUAUUUCAUUAGACUAAUAUUACAGGGGCAAAUGAGCUCAAGGCAACGGUGGGUCACGGUAGCGGGUGCCGCAAUGUGAUGUCUUGAGUUCCAUUCGCACCAGUUUAAAGUCAAUAUUUAAAUAAAAAAUUACAAGUCAGGCUUGAUAUUCAAUUGGACUGUAGUUUGUGUAUCGGCUUCUUUCAAUUUCCGAUUGUCUUUUUUAUGUUUAGUCACUCAUGUAUGGCCUACUAACUUUAAAACUUUGUCUUCUACACAAGCUCCAAGAAUUAUUGGAAUACAUGCCUGGACCUGACUUUCCAACUGGUGGUGAAAUUAUGGGAAAUAUUGGGUAUGCGAUUUGCAUUCCUCAUACUAGUUUUAUUAUGUCUUUCCCUUGGUUCACAAAAUGGUACAUCUGGAUCAGAGUGCAUCAUUGUUUUCUGAUUUGUAGCUUCUUCUCGUGAAGGAUUUUAGAUGCUUAUCGAACUGGUCGUGGGCGUAUAGUUGUCAGAGGAAAGACCGAUGUGGAGGUGCUUGAUGCAAAAGGCAAGCUCUCCGCUCUUGUAAUUAGAGAGGUAUUUACGUUUUGCAUUUCUUUUCUUCUAGAUAUUUUUGUAUACUUUCUUUGCUUCUUGUUUAAUCACUCUAUGUAUCGCGCUCUCUCCUCCAUCUCUCUAGAUGCUACUGUCAUUCCAAUCAGAUUUUCAAAUGAUCGUCUUUGUUACCACAUGCAGAUACCUUAUCAAACCAACAAGGCUUCCUUAGUGGAGAAAAUUGCUGAGCUUGUGGAAGACAAGGUUAUGUAUUAUGUAUUCCUUUUCGGUUUCUUCAUUGCAUACCAAAUCAUCUUAUUGACAAACUUGUUCUGUACAACACGUUUGUUAUUGUAUGUGGAUUAACCACGGGAUGUGGUUGAUUUUCUUUUGCUCUUUAAUGUCCAUGAAGGAAAACUUAAAACAUGAAACUUACAUAACAAAACAAUGGACCCUUGUGACAUCUUCAAACCAUAAUGGAAUAGGAGUUAUUUGAACCGGGGUUUAUGUAGUUUCUCAGUCUUCCAAUGUGCAUAUCUGAACGUGGCAAGGAUGUUUUGUUUAUUCUUUAUUUUUGCAGAGCAUAGAGGGUGUAAGUGAUAUUCGUGAUGAGAGUGAUCGAUCUGGAAUGCGGAUAGUGAUUGAGGUUUGCAUGUCUUGUGCAUUUAUGGUGGUCUAGUUUUUUUGGGGGAAAAUUUGAUAUGUUUGUGUUAUUGUAUGCUGUAAUCUAUAAGAAGCUUAUUGGAUUGCCAUAGUUCUCUCAUUGUAAUGGUUUUAUCAUUGGACAUUUUGGUGGCAGUUAAAGAAGGGGUCUGAUCCAUCCAUUGUUCUCAACAAGCUGUACAAACUAACUGUACUUCAGUCGAGCUUUAGCUGCAACAUGGUGGGGUUAGUUGCAUCUAAACCAAAAUUUGAACUUGUGUUGAUUUUGAAUCUUAAUGUGGUUACCUUUGCCAUGCUAUGGUAGUACAAUAAUAGAGUUUCUUUAUUUACUUCUAUGUUGAAAAGUUGGAAAGAAUGAUCAUGUGGGAGGUUUUGAAAAGCCAUUUACAGUUUCAAUUAUGAUAUUUUUUCCUAUUUGCCUGUCCCUCUUUUCCUGCUGGUUGCACCACUUAAUGAUUAUUCAUCUUGAC
Molecule: long non-coding RNA, 82034 nt
Filed under: Amborella trichopoda
Lineage: Eukaryota; Viridiplantae; Streptophyta; Magnoliopsida; Amborellales; Amborellaceae
Description: long non-coding RNA (ATRI_LNC000920)
Source: RNAcentral